AACAUUUUGUAAUAUUAAGCUAUUGAUAUUUUAAUGAAACCUAGCCGUCUUUGUUGUUAUCUAUCUUUCCCUAUUUUGUAUGUAUUGUUAACAUGAUAUCUAGAACUUGUUUUGAUCCGCCUUGAACCGCUUGUCGCUUCCGCUGUCGAAUCCCAAAAGUUUGGGAUAUGUUUGAUUUGCUUGUUGAUGAUAGAUCAGUAUUGGUGGAUGUGAAGGUUUCCUCUUUAUGUUGCUUGCUUUUACGGUAUGUUGGCUUCUUGGUUAUUUUUGUUUCCAAUCCUUUUGGUCGAUUGGUGUUUUUUCUAAAUUGGUGGGUUUGUUCAUUUUUUAUUUGGCUGUUCUAAUUGUUCUGUCAACAUUUGGGAAAUUUGUGAGUGUUCGUAAUUAGGCUUUUCUUUGUUCUAGUCAAUCCUUUUGUUCGUCCAUGACUAUUCAAUAUGGUUUGUUUCUUCUUUUUCUCAUUUAAUUUGCUGGUCAAAAUUAGUUCCUAUUGGUUGAUUAGCAUGUUGCUUUUGUUUUGAUUGGGAGACCGAUAAAUUUAUAAUGGUGAAGGUAGUGUACCUAAGCAUAAAUUGGUUUUUUAGUGCUUGGGAGUUAGUAGGCUUCAUUGUUGUGAUAACAUGGCAUUGGUAACUAGUCUUCUCAAUGUCUACAAAAUUGUGUUGGUCUAUGAGUUUGUAUUUGUUCUCUUUGGAUUUUGGGUUUAGUUUGGUUUUUCAAUUUAUCUUGUUUGGUUUUGCUUCGUUCAAAUUGUUUGUGUUGGUUUAGUUUCGUUCGGUUUGGCUUGAUUCAUUGUGGUUCAUAUUGGUUCGUCAAUUUGUCUUUGCAUGGUUCGUUUGGUUCAGUUUGGUUUGAUUUGGAUUCAUUUUGAAUUUGUUUGGUUGUUAGGUGAGUCAAGAUAGUCCUCACAAUUGGUUUGUUUGUUUGGUAGGUCAAGUGCUCACUAUUGGAUUGUUUGUUUGGUGGGUCAAGUGCUCAUAAUUUGUUUGUUUGGUGAGUCAGGUGCUCACACUUUAGUUGUUUGGUGAGUCUAGUUCUCACAUUUUGGUUGUUUGGUGAGUUUGGUGCUCACAAUUUGGUUUCUUUCCCCCUUUUGAUUCUUCUGAUUGAUUGUUUGGUGGGUCGAGUGCUCAUAAUUUGGUUUCUUCUCCCCUUUUGAUUCUUCAAGUUGGUUGUUUGGUGAGUCGAGUGCUCACAAUUUGGUUUCUUCUCCCCUUUUGAUUCUUCUGAUUGCACUUCUCCCACUUUUGAUGAUUCUUUGGUUGUUUCUCUCUCGAUUGGUUCUUCUGUAUGGUUGCUUCUCCCUACCAAUUUUUGUUUGGUUUAGUUUGAAAUGGUUCUUCUACUUGGAUAAUUUCUCUCUUUGGCUGAUUGAUGGUUCUUGCUGCUCUUCAUUCGUUAUACUACAAGCUAAUUUGGUUUAUUUUUGGGGUUAAUUUGUAACAAGCUUAAAGCUUAGUAAGCUUCAGCUUGAGGGGUAGUGUUAAAAGUUUAUAUUAUUUACUAUGUUUUUCGUAUUUUGUUUGACAAACUCACAAUGCUUCUUGUUGAUGCAUCAUGAGUUUGAGAGUAUGUGUUAGAUAACAAAGCAUUGAGCUUAAGCUAUUAGGCUUUUAUAUUAGUAAGUUAGAGUCCAAUAGAUUUAUUAUAUAUUCUCUCAUAACAUUUGUAUUAUUAAGCUAUUGAUAUUUUAACGAAAUCCUGGCCGUCUUCGUUGUUAUCUAUCUUUCUCUAUUUUGUAUGUAUUGUUAACAGUGACAAAUACACCACAAGAAAAUUUUCACUUUUGGCGGAAUUUUAGCAUGCCAAUGACCAUUAACACGAAGGUGCUCCGUAUCACUGGCCUCAUUAACACAAAAACGAUUAGUACUUCUAACGAAUACUCACCAUCUUUCUCAAAUCUCCAAAUAACUUUAUCUUCUUGAACCGAAUCAAUGAGGGAAGUUUGCAGAAAUUUUAGAGCUUCAGCAUUUCCAACAGAGGUUGCAUUAAAUCAACAUUUUAUUCCUUUCUAUCAUAGCCUAAACAGACUUGCCACCUUGAAAUUUUCUACCAUCGGAUUCAAAUGCCAUGGAAUAGCCAAAGCAGUACCGUCAUGUAACCAAUUUUGAUUCCAAACUGAGAUGUUCUCUCUAGAGCCAAUGUUCCAUUUUUACCCUCCUCUAACAAAUCUCACGCUCCAAAUGCUUCGCCACACGGAUAGCUCGGAUUGUGACCAACUCUUGACUCAAGCAAACCACACUUAGGAAAAUAUUUAGCUCUAAAUAAUCUAGUGAUCAAGGUUUGUUUAGCGAGCAUAGCAUAAUUAAAAGCACCAAGGAUUUUAAAACCCAACCCACCCUCACUCUUGCUCAUUGAAAUACAAUAUCUUUCUCAAUUCUGUUUUGUUUUGAAUAUUUAAAAUACUGAUUUAUAAAUAUUUGACUUUCUAGUUGUUAUAAAAUGUGAUUUUUUUUAAUGAUUGCGUGUGCACUUAUAACUGGUCGAAUUAUUUUAGAUAUUAUUAUUUUCAAUUAAGAUAAUAAAAUGUAAAUAAGAAUUGAACAGAAAUUUGAAAGAUGGUUAGGUAUCCUGGAUUAAAAAAGGCUAACUAAUAUAAUAGACCAUGUAACUGUAAGAUUCAUAGCACACAUGUUAAUGAUGGUCAUUCUUUUAUAACAGUGUGCAUUAAUUAAGUACUGUACAAUACUUCACCCUCUACUCAUUCACGAAACCUGCGCAUUUUUCCCUGCAGAAAAUAGAGUCACUCCAAAGAUUGCCAUUGCAGCUCCAACUGCAAUAUUAUGAAUUAAUAAAUCAUUAAAUAUCAAAACAAAAAUCAUAAACAUAUAAAAUAACAUGUCAAUUUGUUUACCAAAUCAAAUCCUAAAUAAGCCAAUAAUAAUUAUCUUUCAAGCAGUAUACUGAAUAUUUAAAAAUACAUAAUGCAGAAUAGAUCACAGUCAAACACCUAUAUACCUUCUGAAACAAGCAGAACAGUAUUGUUCAUUAGCCUCGUGUACAACUUGCGGCUUUUUCCGACAUCAGUUUCAGGAAUGCUUAAGUGUGUGCUUGGCAUCACUUUUCCACAAGCCAAAAGUGCUUUUCUUUUGCCAGACUCCGUUUCCCCAAUUUUUAUCUUGUUUGGAUAAAGAAAAAGCGAUUCUAGGAAACGUGAUUUUAUGCCCAAAACGCCAGUUCUGCUGAAGCUCACAUUCCUAGCUUCUGCGGUGAAUCCCAAAAUCAAUUUUUGUUUACUGUACAUUGGCAGUUAAAAAACUCAUUUCCUUCCUUCUUUGCCCUCAGAUCUAUAUCGUUUUCUUCCUUCUCUCCCUCUUGAACAACCCAUUUCAGUUUCUAUUCUCUGUCUCAACAUUUCUGAAUUUGUUAAACAUUUUUUUUCUUGUUUUCUUUGCAUCAAGCAACUUCCAGGAUCUCUGUUUUUUGUUUUCUUCACAUCAAGCAGCUUCCAGAAAAUUUGUAUAUUUUCUUUUCUGUUUGUUUUGGGAUGCGUUUUAUUCCUUCGCUUUGUUAUAUAUUAUAAUCAUUAAUUAAUUACUAUAUGUUUUUAUUAGUUUUUACGUUUUUUUUUAGGAAAAAAAUAGUUUUUAAGUUAUUAUUAAUAUUUAUUACGGUUCUUCAACAAAACAAAGGAAAAGUUAUUAUAUGGUCCUUAAAAAAAGAAGUUAUUAUCAUGGAUCCACUAAAAAAAAAUAUUGUUAUCGAUGUAUUCUAAUUAAUUAUUUGAAACAAAAAAGAAUAUUAACAAAAUUGAAAAACCCAUUUUGAUAAUUAUACAUCUAAAAGCAAUUUUGAUUUAAUGUAUCCAAACAACACCAACUUAUAAGAAUCAUUUUUAACGAAGUGUAUCCAAACAAAAAUCAAUUCACAUCUAACUCACUUUUAAUCAAAAUCAAUUCUCUCAAACUCAAUUCUAUCAAAAUCAAUUCUUGCCACCGCCAUACCAAACACACACUAAAUGAGGGUGCUGAGUAGCAGCAGUUACAAUUCGGAGGAAUAGAUCGUUGAGAUUACCUAACAACAGACUGAUUGGAAUAGGAGCCUGUACUCCCAUGUCUCGACUAACCUGAAAUAAGCAUUGGCACGUCAGAAGCAUUGAUGCAGUUGCUUGAAAAUUCUAAGCAUCACGGAUCAAGUGAUAUUUAUUGGUGCUUAUAGAGAAGGGUGUUUAUAUAAGGACCUUCUCUCUCUUCAUUUUUUGUAUGAAUUUCAUUUAACACUUUCUAAUGAAAUAAAUGAGUGUUUUAGAAAUGUAAUAAUAUAGAGUUUUUAGUGGGAUCUAUUAGUAAAUUUUGUUGUGGUCCUGGAUUGGAGGAAUUUGGUGCUUAUUAAGUAUUGACGAUAAAAAUGAAUGAUGUGUACAUGUGUGGCCCACUUAAGCACCCAAAUAGGGGAGCUCCAUUGUGGAUGGUCUGAUUCCCCCUCAAAAAAAUUAUUGUUUUUAAGGUAAAGUUUCUAUUUUUAUUUUUUUAAUAAAUGUCCUUAGAGCAUUUAUUAACAAGAUACAUUCUUAAAUAAAAGUUUCAACAAAGUCAAUAUCAAUUAAAAAACACUAACAUAAAUGUUGAGGCUUAAAUAAAGUCAAUAUCAAUUAUUAUAUUAGUAUUUUUUUUUUUGAAGAAAAUUUUAUAUUAGUAAUUUUUUUAUUGAUUUUAUUCCUGACCCAUAUUUUUCACCCAAUAGUGAUAGUUUUAUGUAUUUUCUCUUCAAAUUUGAAAUUAGAGCAAAAAACAUGCAUUAUGACCAAAAUUGCGACAAUGUAUUAAAUUUGAAUAUCAAACACCUAGAUUUCCUUCCAAAAAAAAAACACCUAGAUUUAAAAAUAGAGGGACUAAUUCCUCUUUCAAAUAAGAUAGAAUAUCCAAAAGUGCAUUUAAACCUAGAAUUAAAUGGUAAAAUCUAAGAUUUUUUUUAUGAUGGUCGAAGUUUGAACCCCCGGACUUUGCAUAUAUUAUACAUUAUCCUUACCAACUGAGUUAAGCUCACGAGGACAAAAAUCUAAGCAUUUAAUAAAGUAGAAGGUUAUUCAAUGAAAUUGAUGAGAAUAAUGAUAAUGCCACGGAGCUAAAGUCACUUGAAUUUGUGGCAUGUAAGCUGCUAGUUACUCUGGUUUUGUGCCUACAUGAGUUAACUUAUGUUGAAAAUUAUCGAACAUAAGUUAACUCAUGUGAGACAUUUUUAAGAAAAGGAACAAUUUUGAAAGGGAGAUGUGCAAUUUCCUUUUAUUUUUCUUGCAUCUUUUCACUUCAUUACAAUAGUACCGACCUUAUCAAACCAUUUGAAUUGCUUGUCAAUCAAACAUUAAUCAUCUUCAGGAUUAAUGUAUAUUCUAGUGACAAAUUUAUGCAAAUAAUAUUGAACUUGUGCAAUUAUACUUAAAAUUUACAUCUUCAAGUUUCCUUGUUUGUUAUCUAUAGGCUACCACUAGUGAUGAAUCAUACUACAAUAAUGUUGAUGAUGAUGAUGAUUAACCGCUUUGAAUUUAGUUGUGCAUUAUAUGUAUGUGUUUGGCAUCACUUUUUCAGCAGCCAAAAUUGAGUUUACUUUUUUAAACGUGGUUUUCAGAUUUUUUUUUUUUUGUUUGGGUGAAUGAAAAGUACUUUCAGGAAACUCAGUUUUGGUACAACAGAAGUUGGUAUUCCUAGCUUCUGCUUUUGUGAAACUCAGUUUUGAUUACAAUGACAUAUAUAGUUACCAAUAUACCCAUGUUUUCUUCCCCAAUUUCCUAUGAAUAAACAUCUUUCUUCUUCUUCUUCCUCAAAAAGAACAUCUUUCUUCUUCUUUAUUUUUGCAGAUCUAUCCUAAUUUUGUUGGAUUUGCAGAUGAAAAAGGAAAACAGUGAUGAGUGAUGGAAAGAUCUGUUCUUAAUUGAUGAGUUGUGUAAUGGAGAAAUGGUAUGAGAGAAAAAUGGUGAAAUUGGGAAGAAGAAAGGUUAGAAGAAGAUGGAAAAGGAAAAUGUAGAGUAUUGAGAGGUGGAGAAAAAGAUGAAAAUGGAUAGUGGGUAGAAGUGGAAGCUUAUGGAGAAAUGAAGAAGGGAGAGUGGGGGAGACGUGAGGGAGUUAUUAAAAAUAACUUAAUUGAUCAAUUUUUAUUUUUUAUUUUUAUUUUUAUUUUUUUUUAUGAAAAAACUCAAUUUUUAUUUUUUUUAAAAAACUCUUAUAAUAUGAAAUUAUUAUUUUUAAAUAAAUUUGUGAACCAAUCAAAAUCCAUUUAUGAUUUUAGAUAAGUUUAAAUAAUUAUUUUAAUUAAGAUUGAAAUAUUUAGUUUUAAUUAUAAGGAUAAUUUAGUCAUUAGACAUUCAAAAUCAAUUUUGAUUCAAACUAUUCAAACAACAUCAACUCAUGAGAAUCACUUCUAGUAAAGUGUAUUCAAACAUAAUCAAUUCACAUUCAACUCACUUUUAACCAAAAUCAAUUCACUCAAACUCAAUUAUAUUAAAAUCAAUUAUCGCCACCGCUAUACCAAACACAUACUUAUUUUACUCAGGAUUCAGAACUUCUCUAUAGGUAGUUUGGUGUCAUGUUAUGCCAUUUGAUAGAACUGUUUUAUCUUCCAUUAGCUUCCAAGCAUUGAUAAAACCUAAGUAGAACAUUUGUAUGAUACUCGCCCUGAUCUCAAUUAUACCUACGCAAACAUACCUUAUUUCAUAUUAAUUAAUUAAAUUUUUUUUUUGGUUACAAUUAAAAAAUAUAUUUAAUUGUAUGCUUUUUAAAUUUUAAUAUAACAAAACAAUAUAUGUGCUCCCAAGUGGUCUAUUGGUUUAUGCCCCAAUUCAUCUUUUUUAUCAAUUUACAUAUAAAUUUUCAAGAUUCAAAUAUAUGGUUUUAUUCAAUAUCUACUUUUAAUGUUCAUGUAUAUAUUCACUACUCAUGUUUUUAUAUGAAUUUUAUUUAAAUUUGAUGUUAGAAAAUUCACAUACAAAUUGAUCAUAAUGACCAAAAUGACAUGAAAAAAAAAUGACAAAAUUGUUAUAAAAAAUUAAGUCAAGGACGAUGAAUGUCAUUUUUUUUUUAUCAUAACUAAAAAAACUUUAACAAUUCACUGUUCUGUCUGUUCAACUUAGUUUUCAUUGCUUCACUGUUGCAAACUUCAUACAAGGAACUAAAAAAAAUCUUGCUAUCGUUAUUCUUUCUCAAUGAAGUCUUGUUUCACAACAUCCCUAUCGUCAAAGCAAUCAACAAACCUUCUCAACAUCAAAGCUCCAAAUAACCAAUAUCAUUAACAAAGGGGCGAUGAAAAUCACAUUAAAAAAUGGAUUUGGAUUUCCUGUUUCUAAUUUUAAUUUAUAGGUGACUGAGAAACCCAUAAGAAAAAAGAGAGAAGAAACCCAUGGAGAUGAGAAUCCGACAUUUGAUUAAUGCCUAAUUUGAUUUUUGAUUCCUUUUUUCAACAAUGAUAAUCGAAAAGAAUCGCAAAUCCAAUUUGCCUAGUCGGAAAAGGAGUAGAUUCAAUAAAUCGGACGAAGAAGAGUCAAGGUUGACUCAUAAACAAAAGAAGAAAACAAACAGAAAUUAUCCUUUGAAUCUCCUCACCUGUCCAAUUCCCACUAGUCUCACCAGAUUACUCUAUGCUUAGCUACCGCUGGUUCAAACCUUUGUGACUGUCUUUAGGUGACUGCUGUCUAGGUUACCUAAAAGGAUUAUCUUUUUCUAAUACUUAAUUUACGGGUAACCAUAAAUACACAUGACUUCUUGAUGCAAUGGUGACAAAGAGGAAGAACACAUUUUUAAUUAACAUAAAAACAACUACAAUUGCAUUAUUGUUAAAGACUCUUCUUGAAAAUACCAAAACUAUAACAACAAACCUGUUGUUCAAACAACCCUUCUUCAAUCUUGACCAUUGAAAAUUUUAAUACUCAUUUUUAUACCAUACACAACAAGAUUGACUUUAGCACCCUAAACUUCACUGCUUUGUGCAGAGCAGGGGAAGGAUCUGGAUGAAUUUUUCCGUUCAACUCUGCUAUGAUUUUCCGCAACAUUUUUAUUCUUCUCAUAACUUAGAAAUGUUUAAGGAUCCGACUACCUCAAAAGAUAAAGUGUGGACUUAUAAUCAUUGAUCAGAAAACCAUGUCACAACCUUUUAGUUUAUCAUACAAAAUUACACAUGUUUUAAUAUUUAUGCUUCUCAGCUAUUAGAUUUUUAAGCAAUGGUUAUUGCUGCACUUUACCCUCUAAAAUGCAUCGAUCGUUUACUUUAGUAUAUUUCUUGAUUGUUUGGUUAGCUUUCCGUUUAUUAGGGAGCACCAUAGUCUAUAAUAAUUCCAAAGAAAGCGCUAAAAGCUAUUGCAAACUGAUGCAUCAUGAAUUUGCUUUAACAGCCCCGUUAUAGAUUGUUUACGUUAGAAAAACAUGUUAAAACAGUAUGCAAGGCACUGUAUCUAAGUAAUUCUCCUAAUAAUACAAUAUAUUUCUCAAUUCAGUUUUUUUUUUUUUUUUUUUGUUACAAAGAUAAUAAAAAGGAACAAACAGGAAAGAAAAAAGAAAACGAAAAAACAAACAAGCUAACUAUUGCGUAAGGAAGAGAGUGCUAGCGGCGUCACUUCUAAGAAGAUUGGUGAGACCGGCAAGGGGAAUUCAGUUUUGUUUUGAAUAGUUAAAAUAUUAUACUUUUAAGUUGUUACAAAAUGAGAAGAUAUUUUUAAUGAUUGGGCGCACUUUUAAAUAUUUGAUUUAUAACUGGUCGAAUUAUUGUAGAUGUUAUUUUCUAUUAAAAUAAUAAAAUAUAAAUAAGAAUUGAACAGAAAUUUGAAAGAUGGUUAGGUUUCCUGGAUUAAAAACAGCUAAAUAAUAUAAUUAAUAUAUAAUAUAAUAUAGAUUAUCCCUCUAAAAAAAAAUACAUAAUAUAGACUGUAAGCUUUUCAUAGCACACAUAUUUAAUGAUGCUUCAUUCUUUAUAACGUUACGUUAAUUAACUGGAACCGAUAGUAUAUGAAUUAAUUAAGUGCUGUACAAUACUUCACCCUCUACUCAUUCAUGAAACCUGCGCAUUUUUUCCUGCAGAAAAUAGAGUCACUCCAACGAUUGCCACUGCGGCUCCAACUGCAAUAUCAUGAAGUAAUAAAUCAUUGACCAUCAGAACAAAAAUCAUAAACGUAUAAAAUAACAUGUCAAUGUGUUUAACAAAUCAAAGCCUAAAUAAGCCAAUUAUAAUUCUCUUUUCAUGCAGUAUACUGAAUAUCCAAAAAUACAUAAAAUCAAGCAUGGAUAGCUCUCUUUUACCCCAAUCUCUAGGCUUCACUCUCUGGAGGAACCAGAAAUGGCUCCCAAAAAGGCGCGAUUAUGCAUGGUAACUUCCAUUUAUUUAUUUACUCUGCUAUCAUUUGAUUGAUUUUGUUGGUAAAUUCAGUUGCAGAUGUUAGUGAUAACUGGUUAUUAUUAAUGUGUUUAAAUAAUGAAAAAAGAGUAAUUAUUAAUGUUCCUCUCCCAAACCAACAAUCCAACUUGUCACUCCACACAUUAGAAGGGCAUGAAACAAAAAAAAGAGUGAAUAAUGGAAAAUGAAAGAAUUGGUAAAGUUGCAACAAAACACAGAAGAAACAAGCUAAUACAAAACAAAAAUAUGGACCACAGUCGAACACCGCUUCAAGGUUAAGAGAAAACUUUGGAUAUCAAAAUAAAUUAUGCAAGCAAAAGACACAGAAGACAUGAACCAAGAAACAUAUCACUUUAACCAAAAAUCAAACAAGUUAAUAGGCUUAUUCUUAGUUAGCAUACAAGUUCAGACAGCUUUAAGAUACUAAGUCAAAGGGAACAAAAUGAAAGACCAACAGCCCGAGAGCCUAUAUACCUGAAACAAACAGAACAGUAUUGUUCACGAGUCUUGUGUACAGCUUGCGGCUUUUUCCAACAUCAGUUUCAGGAAUGCUUAAAUGAGGGUGCUUAGUAGCAGCAGUUACAAUUCGGAGGAAUAGAUCGUUGAGAUUACCUAACAACAGACUGAUUGGAAUAGGAGCCUCUACUCCCAUGUCUUGACUAACCUACAAUAUGCAUUGGCAUGUCAGAAGCAUUAAUACAGUGGCUUGAAAAUUCUGUUAUGACUAUAUAUACUAACGAAGACAACAGAAUACAAUGAUUUUUACAAUAUUUUUUCCCAGCAAUCUAUUAUAACACCCCUAUGCCGAACAUCAGGCUGUACAGUAUCUACUAUCUAGAUUCUAGUGCAAUGGCUAUAGGAAAGGAGCGAAAAAUCCAACCCCACAGUCUCUCGAUUUUUCCAUUCAAAGAUGAUUAAAUAAAAUACCAGUAAAAGGUAAAUGUGCAAGAAAAUGAUGAGUCUAAAACAUCAUCAACAACCAAGCCUGAUAGUUUAAAAGAUGACUAUAUAUAAAAGUGAAACAAUGACAAUUAAAUUAACUUUCAAUCUGCUCAAUCAAAUUUCAAUUUGAAAAUCAAAGCAUACAGACAGGUACACAGACUACCGUAUGCUAAAUGUUGGUAUUCAAAAAGUUUGGAUGAAAUCAUAAUAACAAGAUGUGUCAUUCACCACAUUAAAUAGCUAUUUAUCUAACCAUCCAACAAUUAUGUAAAGCAAUAUGCAAGCUCAAUAUGGAGAGAGAGAGAGAGAGAGAGAGAGAGAGAGAGAGAGAGGAUCCAUCGACUCCAAGAGUAAGUCUAAAGACUUACUCCAAAUCUUGACCCUUCAUUUUAAUAACAAUAGUUAAUGACUGUGAUUAAUUCAUAAUAAUUGUUAAGGUGGGGAUUUUUUACUCUCUCCACGGCAGUACACCAUACACAACAAUUCACAAUUAUCUUUCUGACAAUACGUAUCAAUUAUUGUCAAUUGUCCAUGUUCUUUAUCACCUCUACCUACUACAACCGUGUUAAGUACAUGCCCUUCUUUUCAAUAUAGAGGUAAUUAGGGUUCAAUGCCUUCUUUUUCUUUUUCCGAUGCCUUUCUAUUAUAUUUUUUUGAUAGAAGCUUUUCUAAUUUAUUUAUUUUUGAUAAAUCGAUGCCUUUCUAAUUUAACCAUUUUUGUUUUCUAAUUUAUAAAGACGAUAUUAUUUGCUGUGUAUAAGAUUCCAGAACCUCUUUGUACCAUGCACAUAGACUCAAUUUCUUAUAAAAUAGCAACCAAAGAUGUUGUAUCAGAUAAACCCUAAUGAGAUUUUUGGAGGAAGAAAAAAAGCCCAUAAUUUUCACUGUGAAGAACCCUAAUGAAGAACUGAAUCCUAGGCUAAUAUGAAGAACCUGAAAAGAGAAGUAUGAAAGCUUUUGAAAAUUGAAAGAAAUAAAAAGGGUUGAGAGAGAGAGAGAGAGAGAGAGAGAAGAAGAAUAAAGGAACGAUUAUUGCCUGGAUUGUCGUGGGCUUGAAAGGAGUUAAAAACACCCCACCUUAACAAUUAUUAUGAAUUAAUCACAGCCAUUAAUUAUUAUUAAAAUGAAGGGUCAGGAUUUGGAGCAAGUCUUUAUAUAUAGGGUUUUGCUAGAAGACACCUUUUAUGAAGGUGUCUUUUAGCAAGUUAUAUAUAUUAUCCAAAUUAAUAAGUUAAUGAAAAUUACCCUAGUAGACUCUUGUGCAGCCAUUGUAAAUGAAACCUGGUCAUCUUUAGCAGCAACUAUAAGGCAAGGCACCUCAAAGCCAGAAUCUUCUCCAUGAGCAGCAAUAUCUACAAGAAGUUUAGAUGAUGCCCUCCAUGAGGACUCAUCAGACCUACAAUAAAUAUUUAGUAAGAAUGUAAGAUAUAUACAACAAACGAACAUGAAAUUACAUAUAACUAGGAAGCUCAUAGAUGAGGUUGACGUGUUUGUAAAUUUGAAUACCAUGCAAACUCACAGCGACUUACACAUCUUAUUAAGUGCACAGCUGAUUUUUUUUAAGUGAUUUUGAAUAAAGAUGUUGAAAUGUUGCUUAUGUGCUAAAAUACCCAAACUGAUCAAUGCUUAAAUUAAAUGAAACAAUUUGUAAUUUCUUCAAGUCCUAUAAACACCACCAACUAAUUUAAUACUACCUCCAUCCUUAAAUAUAAGAAUCUUUUGGCCAAAUCAUGGAAAUUGAAAAAAUUGGUGGUAGUAUUAAAUUUGUUUGUAAUUACUAUUAUUUUUACAAUUUUAUCCUUUUAGAGAGAGAGAGAGAGAGCUAGUUUAUGUUUUCACGAUAGUAUUUAUUGUUGAUUGAAGAAAAAAAAUGUAAAACAUAAAACCAUUUCAAACACGACCAAAUAUACGACCCACGUAUUUUACAAAAUCCCUAUGUAACAAAGGUAGUCCCUAUUUUCAAUGGUAUAUAGGCAUAAUGAACACUUAAAUAUCAUCAUUCACCUGUCAUGAACAAUAAUUGCAAUGUCACAAGAGGCCAAAGACUCCUUAUUCGCCAGCAGCCCUUUAACUCCAUCUUCAGGAAUCUCUCUCAGCACAAGAUAUUUCUUCUUUCCCUGCAAACAAAAUGAUAAAACAUAAAUAUGAAGAAAGAAAUGCAAGAUAUUAAAAAAUGAAUAUAUCAAAUGAAGACACGGGUCAUAUGUGAAUCAUGUAUCAUUUACCAUAGAAUCAUCAACCACAUUCACAGCAUAAUGAUCCUCGUUGGUUGGAUUGUAAAUUUCAGAAUAUGGCCUGCAAUAUGAAUUCAACAACAAUAAGAUACGAUCCUUAAUAAUUGAAGUUAUAGCACCGCUGUAACAGAAAGCUAAGAGGUAACAUAUAAUGAAAAUACCAUCGAAUAAAAGAUUUCAACAAUGAAGAUUUUCCAGCACUCCUGGGCCCAAAAACAAAGCACUGAAUGACGUCUCGUUCCGAGUGCUGCAAUUUGCGAUCAAAACUUCGCCUCCUAGUCACGCGGAUAGCAGAUGAUGGAUCGCCAGUGUAACCAAUGUAAAGCAGAUUCUUCACACUAAAAGUUGGGUCUAUAAGUGUCAUGAGUGCCCACUGUACAUAAAAGAUAAAAUAUAUGUUUAAAAAUUAAUGUCAAUCCAUUGCAAUAUUGCAGAUAAAUUGUCAAGUACACUUAAAAGAUACACAGACCAGUAACACAUGAUAUAAAUUGACGCAACUUUGAUUCAUAAAACCCUUCUCAAAUUAAGGAAUUAUAAAACCCUCAAGAGAAGCCCAUCACUCUCCUACAAACAUUGUUCAGUAAAAUUCAAGGACGAGGGAACAGAGACCAAGGUGAAAGGCUUGAGCACCUUUGACAAAAAUGCUUCAAGUGAUAGUCCUGUAAUUCCAUUCUCACCUACAACAUUCUCAUCUGCAGCAUCCUUGUAGGGAGGUCCGGUCCAGGGACUGAAAUUAAAAAUCAUAAAAUAUCAAUAUGGCUAGAGUCCUCACUGACAUCAAGAUUCAGGAAAGGCAAACACGUAAAAAAAUUCCAUAUUAAGACUUUGUAAAAAAAAUUAAGAAGCAAAGUUAAAAGUAAAUACCAAAUCCUUUAGCAUGUGUGUGUUUGAAAAAUUAAUUACACAACGUAGGAAAUAUUCCACAUCAAACUGCCCCAUUACCAAAGUAAGAAUUCAAACUAAUCCACCAUGAAAUGGUGGAUAAUAAAGUAAACAAAAAGUGUAGCAAAAAAUGUGAGAAAGCAAUCUACCUUUCUGGGGCAGUAAAAAACAAUUCUUCAAGUUCUUCAGGUUGCAAAAUCCCAUUCUGGAGUAAUGAAAACUCAACUUGUAUAUCACAAUAAAGCCGGAAAAAGUCUGAAAAUCGCUAACGGGAUGCAUAAAAGAGUGAAAAUAUUCAAGAUUGUUUGAGCGAAAGACCUACACAAUCGACAUCAAAUUCAACAAAUACUUUCUUCAAGAAGGCUAAAGCUUCAUUUGUCAACUCGACACUCUGUACAAAUUAAAUCCAAUCUUUGAUUAGAAUAAAAUAAAAGUCCCAUGUUGUCAAAAAUACAGAACACAAUACAAACAAGGCCACAAUUUGUAUAAAAAAAAACCUGAUCGGGAGCACGUGUCAGAGGCGGAAUUAGAUGAUCAGCAAGUCUGAUAUCAUCCAUAUACCCAAACUUUCUUAGCAUAGCCCACGGUACCUCCCGGUGCCAUAUUUUCUUGAAAUCAGCGUGUAAAGAUUGAAAUCCUGCUAAAGUAAGUCCAUGUUCAUUGACACCUUCAGGAUAUUUUUUCCUUAAAUACUUCACUAGAAGCUGAAUUGCAGAUUGUGGCACCGGACCUAUGAAAUAUUUAGCCUGUAGAUAACUUUGUUAGAUGUUUCACAAACCAAAUACAAGUUAACCUGCAAUAAAAUAAGUUUAUAAUCAAGCUAUGUUUAAUAUGAGAAGGAAGAAGUAAAACCUGAAAAUCAUUAAAUUCAGCAUUGUUAAGUGAGCUAUCUCUGUUACGGUCGCUUAGGAUGAAAAUCCGCUUUAAAGCCCGGGCAAAUCGAGGUUUGAGAGUGUUAGAAUUUCGAAAAUAUAAAGGCUCCAGUGGAUAAAGAACCGACUUUUGGGCAAAGCUGAAAACAUCAAGAACCUUCAAAAAGAAAAUUAAAUUAAUAUUGUAUGAAAUAAAUUGAGAUAUAUUUGAAAACAAGGAAUCAAAUUGAAAUAAUAUGAAUGAAAGAUACCUUCAAAUUCAUAGAUGCUGAACACCCAAUGCUAAUUUCAAUCUCUGGGAACUGUUGCAUUACUGGUUGCAUCGCCUCUUCUAUGCCUGCCUUCUGAUUUUCAUGUUGUAGCUUACAAGCAGCAACUAUAACUGGAACUUUUACCUGUGUAAUUAAGUUAAAAUAUCUAUAUCAUGGAUACAUUCUCUGAAAAUGGAAAUACAUGUGUAUUAUGUGAACCUGAUUAAACUGUACAAUAAACCAAGAGAGAACGGAACCCACCCCCAAAUCGCGAAGACGAGGGAGCCAAAAUGCAGUCAGACUUUCAAGUGUGGCUUGGCGAUCACAUGCAUAGGUGAGGAUGAUUACGUCAGCAGCCAAUAGUUCUUCAUCAACUUUAUCACUGUCCUCAGGACUACAACAACAAUAACAACAACAAGAUGAAGUGAAAUUCCUUAGACAUUCAGAUUAGGGUAAACAUUCAAAUUUGUAACUUAUAGCUAGCACAAGAGCUUAUGAAAAGCGAUGAACAGUUUUAGCAUAAAUAUGUAAAAUCCUCCCUCGCUUAGAGUUACAAUUACAAUUAAACAGCAAGGAAUCGUUACCGGGAAGAGGUGUCGAUGAUUGUGAAUGGCACCCCGUCGGGAGACAUGCUUUUAGGCAGGAUGGUGGGAGUCAAUACCGGCGGAACAUCCUUGACAGAGUUUCCGGCAGCGAAAGUAGCGAUUAGACUGGACUUGCCAGUUCCAUCGUCUCCAGCGACAACAAUGCGAAUUCCAGUAAGAACGUGUGGGGAAACUGUUCCAUCGAUACAGCAAUCGCAAGCAGAACAAAAAUUUAAAAUCCAAGUUUGUUUGUGCUAGAACGAGUAAAUAUAUUAUAACCUGAACCCUAACCAAGUGUGUGCUAAAUAGUUUCUGUUUCUUUUUCAAUAAGUAAAUAGAACUUUUGUUUUAGCUUUUGAGAAUUUUAUGCAAAUAUUGCGAGCAAAAAUAAAUAUGGAAAUAUUUUUUAUUUUUUUAGCAAAUAGUUUAGUGUUAAAAUUCGUCUUUUACUAAUUUUUUAAAACAAAUUCGUACUAAGUACGGACUGGACAUCGAGGUGCGGGCCUAAGUGAAUUUAAAAUCCAAGUUUGUGUAAUUAAACGAACGAGUAUUAUAGUGCUAAAUGAUUUUCGUUUCUUUUUUAAUCUUAACCGAAAUUAUAUAUUUUAUUUUAUAUAACUUUUUUUCCGUUCAAUUAUACCUUAAAACAAAUUUUGUCAAUGUUAUAUCUAUAUCUAUACUUACUUUUUUCUAUACUUACUAUAUAUAAUAAAAAAAACUACCUCUUUCAGCAUUUUUGAUUUGAUUUUUCUUUUCAAAAAUACCCUUAAUUUUCAAUACAAAUAACACAUGUAACAACUAGAUAAGAAUAAAUUUAAAUAUUUUAAAAAAUGUAACAAACACGAUAUGAAUAUAUAUAUAUAUGUUUUUUUUUGUCAUUUAUCAUUUAAAAAGUAUAACAAACUAGAUGAGUAUGUUCUCGUGAGUUUAACUCAGCUGGUAUGGACAAUGCAUAGUAUAUGCAAGGUAUGGGGCUCAAAUCCCGACCACCACAAAAAAAAAAAUAUAUGCAAGAUAAAUAUAGUUUGUUACCCAUAUGAAACUGAAAAAAUAUUUAUACUUAUAAAUUAUAAUUUUAAUCAAAUUUCAUUGAAACUAUUGUUCGUAAUUUAUACAUAUUACUCCAGCAAUAAGAAAGGACAUACGAAACACUAGUGAUUUUUUUUUUUUUUUAAGUUUUGACAAUUUUAUGCAAAUAUUGUCAAGAAAAAAAAAAUAUAGAAGUAAUUUUUAGAUUUAACCUUUGAGAUUAUGAAAGUCCAGAUAUAUAAUAUGAAUGUGGAUACGAUACACUAUGGAUACACGAAUAGACAAAAUUUAUAAAACUUAGGAUACGAUAUAGCUAAGAUACUUUAACAAAAAAUUUAUACUAUAAAACUUAUAUACUUGAAGGAAAAAAAACAUUGAUUACUCUUCAUCAUUAUAUAAUCAUAAAAGUCACAAUUUGCUCUCUCUUUGUGUGUGUGUGUGUGUGUGUAUAUAUAUAUAUAUCAUUGCCUUCAUCCACAAAAAAAAAAAAAAAAAAAAAAUUAAUCGGUUAAUCGAAAAACAUUUAUAAUCAUAUACAACUCCAUUGAAAUUUCACAAUAUAAUCUCACUUUUUUUCUUUCUAGAAUACGUAUGUGUUAAAGUAUUUUAUAAAUAUAUGUGUGUCUGUCGAAUAUCAUAUAAGUAUCCAAUAAAAUAUAUAUUUUACAUUAAAAUAAUUAAUUAUGAUAAUCCAUAAAUGCAUAUACACGAGUAUCUGCGAAGUAUAGAUAUUUGAUAUGUAUAUGAUAUCGAUACGAAUAUGUCUCCAUAUUUAAAGUGUCAAAGCUUCUAGGAUACUAUUUUUUUCAAUUAUCUACUUCUCUUACACAAAUGUUGGAAGAAUAUAAUUGACAUGUAAUGUCUUGGACAAAACUGAUUAGAUUGACAUGUAACAGAAUUGAUUCAGCAUAAAACAUACCCUUAUGCUGAUUCAAAUAUUAGAAUUGUAACAAAAAUAAAGAAAAGACAUAGUCCGCAACGACUCCAUGAUUUUCGGCCUAUCUCUUUAGUGGGAUGUUUGUAUAAGGUGUUAGUUAAAGUUUUCGCUAAUCGUCUCCGUUUAGUAGUGGGUAAUGUGGUGUCAGAGUCACAGUCGGCUUUUAUUCAGGGGAAACAGAUUUUUGACGGUAUUUUGAUAGCUAAUGAAGUGGUAGAUGAAGCUAAACGGAUGAACAAAGAAUUUUUGUUGUUUAAAGUUGACUUCGAAAAGGCGUAUGAUUUAGUCGAUCUGAGGUAUCUGGACAUGGUAAUAUAGAAUAUGAAUUUUCCGAGACUCUGGCGGAAGUGGAUUUAUGAAUGUGUCGGGACAGCAACAACAUCAGUUUUGAUAAAUAGUAGUCCGACGAAUGAGUUUCCUAAAAGGAUAUAUGGGGAAACAGUUGUCAUGGAUAUGGCAAUCGCAAUAUCAAAGGAGACUAUGUUGGACUGAAUUACGUCGGAGUUACGAGAACGAGUUAAGUAUAUAGUAUGAAUAUGAAACCUGAACGCUGACCAAGUGCUUUUUUAUUUUUUGAAAGGCCUAACCAAAUGUGUCUUAAAUAAAUAGUUUUUGUUUCUUAGAAUAAGAAAUAGCUUUUGUGUUAGGUUUUGAGAACUUUAUGCAAAUAUUGUCAACAAAAAUAUGGAAAUAUUUUUAAUUAAGAUGCAUAAUAUAUUUAAGGGUUAAAUAAGUAAAUAGUCGUUCUAAAUAUACCAACAUUUGAUUUUAGUCCUCAUAAAAUAUAUUUUAGGCUUUUGGUCCAUCUAAAAUUUUUCAUUUAUGAAAUUAGUCUCUACUCUAGUGUAAUACUCAAUGUAGAGCAGUGACUAAUUUCAUAAAUGAAAAAUUUUAGAGGGACCGAAAACCUAAAAAAUAUUUUAUAGAGACUAAAAUCAAAUGUUGGUAUAUUUAGGGAGACUAUUUACUUAUUUAACCCUAUAUAUUUAAUAAUUGCACUAAUGUCAUGAGCUGGAAGCUAGGAUUUGAAUUUUUGUAAUGAUAUGGUUAUUGAAAAAAAUAUAUACACCCUCCGGUCACUAUUAUAAGCAAAAUUCCACUUUUUAGAUUCAUUCAAUAAAUGAUGUAUGUGGUCUAUUUAAUGGACCACAUACAUCAUUUAUUGAAUGAAUCUAAAAAAUAGAUUUUUGCUUAUAAUAGUGACCGGAGGGUGUAUUUGAUAGCUCAGCUAGUGUAUGUCGUGCUAGUAAUUUGUCUAUUUUUUUGAAUGAUUGCAAAUUAUUGCGUGUUUCUCAAAUCCAAACCCCCUUUUUUAGAGCAAUGAUAUUUGUACAUCCAUUUAAUGACAACUUUGUUUUCCUCUCUUUUGAUUGGUCAAAAACAAUGAAGAGAGAAAAAGGAAGAGAGAGAGGAUAAUAACAUCAUGUGAGUAUGAGAGAAAAAGUUGUCAAAAAAUUGUAGUAAAAUGGUUGUACAAAUAUCAUUUCUCUUUUUUUUAACGUAAAAUGAAUUAUAUUAACAAUACAAAGUGUUUCUCGUAUCACAAGAUGUAUUAAAGAGAAACACCAGAGUCUUACAAAAAGAAAGAGUGUUGUUAGCCAGCCCUCAAAUCCAACCCUUAAUCACCAAUCAUAGAUGACACAGGGACAUGUCGAUUAACAUUCUUCGACAAAAACUAACGAGUUGGACAAAUUUGGCAGAAAGAAGUAACGUUAAGGGACCAAAACGUAUAACAAAUAUUAAUUAUAUAACCAAAAUGAAACUAAUAAAUAAGUUAAGGGACAACGGCGAAGCUAGUAAAAAGUUUACGUAGAGGCCAGCUAUAAUUUUUUUUUGAACCAGUAUAUUAAAUUUAAAGAUAAAGUAUGUUUUUUGUCUCAUAGAUUAUACUUUUUAAAGUUUAGUCCUUAUAGACAUUUUAUGCAAUUUUUUAAAAUUUCACAAAAAAAAAUGUUUUAGUCUUGCAUUUAAUUUCUAUAACCAAAAAUUAAACAAAUUUUAUGAACUUAACUCAAAAAUCACAAGUAUUGUAGAGACUAAAAACAAAUGUAACUUGUAAAUUAACCAAUACAAGACAAAAAUCACAAUGAUUUUUACUUAAAUGAAAUGUAAAUUAAAGCAAUAACAAAGGAUAAAAAUUGACAAUAGUUAUUAGAAAAGUUGGACAAAAUGUAUUUCAAGAAAUCAAUUUUUUCCAUAAUUGAGCGAUUAUAGAUUAAUAAUGUAUUUUUCAAUGUAAACUAAUAGGUUAUUUGCAAUAAACUCAUUGUCCAUUUAAUUUAUUUAUGAAUAUUGUCUUGAUAAUUUUUAUUGUUGAAAAAGUUUUAUCUAUAAUUGUUAUUGAAACUGAAAGUAUCAAACCAAUAUAAUAAAAUCUAUCAAUCAUGUAGUAAUAUUUUUACUUUCUUAUUUAUCCUAAUUUUAGACAACUGAACUUGUUUGAGGUAGCUCAAUGUUUAUUAUUUGGGAUAGCUGGAUAAAAAUACUUACCGACCGAUUGAAGAAUAAUUUUUUUUUUGGGUAGCCAAAGCUCCUCCAACAUGCAAGGAACCGCCCCUGUUAAGGGACCAUAGUUAAGGGACCAAAUAAAUUAAUUUGCUAAAAAAAAUUAUUGACAAAAAUUAACUUGGUAAUAUUUUAAACAAUUAGAGCAUCCACAACAUAACACCUAAUUUUAAGUGUUCAAAUGGGUCCUCUAUGUCCACCUCACCUAUUUCAUUGUAGUACUAAAUAAACAUCAAUUUUCUCCAACCCAACUCUUUAAAAAAAUUACUAAACAAAAUCCAUUAAUAAUUUUAUAUUUCAACAAAAUUUAUUUAUUGUACUAGGAUUUAUUAAUAGAGUCCUAAAAAAAAUGAAGAAAUGGGUACUUCCGUAGCCAUCAUUUUCCUGUUUUGAAUACUCUCCAUUGACUUUUUUUUUUAAAAAAAUUCUUAAGUGAAAUCUCAACCAUCAAACAUGAGAGAGAAUAAGAGUUAAAUUAUAAAAAAAAAACGAUUGAUUUGUUUUAAUAGUGGAGAUUGAAAAUGGAGGAAAGUUGAGAAAAAUUCAAUUGAGAAAAUCCAAAUAUCCAUUCUCUCCCUAGGUACCCGAGUUCUCUACAUCAAAAUGAGAGUGUAUAAUAAUUAAUAUUAUGCUAAAAUGGUGGAAUGUCCAGCAUUGUGAAUGACCUUAUAUUCAUAAUAACAUGGAUUGGAUAAGAUAUGCGAUUGCUUCUGAAUUAUAACAGACGUGUAACACUACCCAUUAUUUUUUGUCAAAUAAUAUUGUGGCUAAAAUUCUAUCUUUAUAGUAGCAUGUGUUGGAUUGAAGAUUUAAGAGAGAAAAAAAGUAACUAAAGAAAGUGCGAUUGAAAGAGAGAGAAUAACUAAAAAAAGUGUGAUUAUUUAUCAUGUUAUUUGUAUUUUUUUAAAACAUUUUAUAAGGUUUGUAAUUUAAAAAUAAAAAAUAAACACUCAUCUCCUAAACCAUACAUCUAAACACACAAUUAAAGUGAAUAAGUAAAAAUUCAAAAUUCAAGUUUCGAACUUCAAUCUUUGCCUAUAUAAUGUAAUAUUUCUACCAAUAUUCACUAUAAGACACUGCCCAUGUUUUACUCUAAAUUAUAUUAUAAUGAAAAUACUAACAAGUGUAUUGCAUUUAAUGUAUUUGUUAAAAAAUUAAAUAUAGCAAAAAUAUAAUUUGUGUAAUCAACUUUUUAAAAGUGUUUAGGUCUUCCUAAAAAAAAAGUGUAAAGGUAGUUUUUUUAAGGGUUAAAUAUGUUUUAAGUCCCUACAUUUUGCGUGAUUUUCAAGAAUAGUCCUUAUAUUUCAAUAAAUGUUUUUAAAAUCCCUACAUUUUUACUCCGUUAGUACAAUUGGUCCUUACCGUCUAUUUUCAAUGACUAGGCUAACGGAAGAUGCCACCUAGACGCCACUAGGAUGCCACAUGGCCUCAUUAAUGAUAUGUCAUGCCACAUUUUAAAAUCCCAAUUUAACUUGUCAAAAAAAGAAAAUCCUAAUUUAAAUUAUCAAUUAAAAUCUUAAUAUUUUUUAUUUAUCAACCACACUUAAACAAUCAAAAAUAAAAACAAUCCCUUUUCUUCUCGUUCUUGUUCCAGGAUUUCUCUACAAACACCACACCACCCAGCAUCAUCGUCAUCUUCAUCUCUCUUCCAUUAUUUUUUUUCUUCAGUUUUUCAAAAAUUAGAGAUUUGAAAUUCCUUCUUCAUCACGGAACAACCUCUUGACUUCAUUCCCUUUUUCACUCUUGUCACUGUAAGCGUGAUCGAAACUCCCAUCCUCUGCGUCUUCAACCCUUACGAUGUCGAUGUCGCAGCUAUCACGACUUCACCAUACCGUCGCCGUCGUUGAUGGUCAGAUCCGACACCAUUGCUAUAGCAAACACCCAAAACAAAGUUGAUGAUUUUUUAGAUCUAGCUUUGUCUGAUUUUGUUUGUUGAGGUUACGACGGCUACAAUGGAGAUUCUUACAUGUUGCAGUUGAUUUAGAUUAGAUUUAAGGAAUCUGUUGGUACUACGUUUGAAGUUUUUUGUAAGAUCUUACUAUUGUUGUAAAUUGCAUUGAAUGAUGCCUUCAGACAUUGUUCAAUCAACAAAUUUUAUCCAGUAAAAAUUUUAGCUAUGAGUCUUAGGAAUCAUUUGCGUUACAUUGGGAUUCCGUGCUUAAAACUUGUGGUUGAUUUCUUUUACAGUUAAAUUGGAUUUUAUUUUUAGACAUGGUUUGUUUUGUUGGUGUACUGUUGGUUCUCUUGUUGAUGCUAUGUUUUGUUGAUAUUUGAGGGGAAGGUUUCAAUCUAUAAUGAUGAAGAUGGUGGUGGGAAUUAAGUUAUUUUUGGUAGAAUGAAUUUCUGAAAUUAGGCUUGGGAUGCAACAUGAUAAUUUUUUUUUUUAAGGAAAAAUGUUUUUUUAUUAAUAAUAACUGAAAUUUUAAUUAAUUUAAUUAUAAUAUUUAUACCGAUGACACCUGUGUCCACACAAGAUGCCACUCAAAAAAUACGGGGCCCACAAUAUGCCACAUCAACAUUUUGUUAGCCUAGUCAUCGAAAAUAGACGGUAAGGACAAAUUGUACUAACAAAAUAAAAAUGUAGGGAUUUUAAAAAUAUUUAUUAAAAUGUAGGGAUUAUUCUUCAAAGUCACGCAAAAUAUAGGGAUUAAAAACAUAUUUAACCCUUUUUUUAAUACAAAAUUCACUGUUUAUUUAUUAUAAAAAGCUUUUUAUUUUUAUUUUUGUGAUCUUGUAAAAAGGCCGUAUGUAAUGUAUGGCGAGGGUGGUUAGUUGAUAGAGAGUGACGCGGAACACAAAAAAGGAAAGGGAAAGUUGCAUAAGUCAUGAGGCGCAAUAAAAGAUCCAUUGAGAGGUUCUAUUCUAUAUUUCACAUCUACAGUUCCCACUUUUGUGUACACUAAACAAACAGAUAGAAAGCAUCGAUUGGGCGCGCGCGUAAAGUACAUAACCACCGCAGUUUCAUGUAUAAAUAAAUAAUACCCGCCUACCUCAUUCAGAAAAUGGCAUUCCUUCGUAAUACUAUUUCUCGUUCCCUUCUUCAUUCUCCUCUAUCGCAGGCCAUUCUUCUCCCUUCAUCUUCUGCACUUCAACAAGGUCUUUUUCUAUUCAUCAUUUCUUUUUUAUAUUAUUUUAUUGCAUUCUACCUGUUUGUUUAUUUUCUUCUGUGAAUAACUCGUUUCUAGAUUUUGCGGGGAAUCACUCAACUUAUUACUGUUUCAUUUUAGGGAUUUCUGGAAGCUCUCGAAGCUAUGGCAGUUAUGAAUCUUCUGACAAAUGUAUCUUGGAGGAUGAAGAGAUAGCAAGACUUCGUAACCAAUUCGAAUCUGCUAAACACAGUUUUCUCAACAUUCCUGAUGCACUCAAAGAAAUGCCUAAAAUGAAUCCUAAAGGUUACUCAAUUGCUUCGGCGUGUUAUUUUCUAUUCAAUUAAAUUGAAUGAGUGUUUGCAUGCAUGCUUUGUUCUAUUGUUUGUGAAUGUUGAUGUAUUUUCUUCUAUCUGUGUAUUGAAUUAGGCAUUUAUGUGAAUAAGAACUUGAGAUUAGACAGAUUGCAAGUCUAUGGUUUCGAUUACGAUUACACAUUAGCACAUUACUCCGAUCAUUUGCAGACUUUGAUAUAUGACCUUGCCAAGGAGUAUAUGGUUAACGAGGUUAGCUUCGACUAACUCACUCUUGCGGUUUCUUUUUCUUUUUCUUUCAAUUUUUCGUUUCUAUCCUUACUCUUCUUGUUGCUUUUUUCAGCUUAGGUAUCCAGACAUUUGCAUGAGUUUUAAAUAUGAUCCAUCUUUCCCUAUUAGAGGUCUAUACUAUGAUAAGUCAAGAGGAUGCCUCAUGAAGCUGGAUUUCUUUGGUUCAAUUGAGCCUGAUGGAUGCUACUUUGGUAGACGCAGGGUAUUGGACAUUUCUUCCUUUAUUUAUUUGCAGCAUUAUUUUGGCUUAUGUUGUCACCUUGAUUUUGUUUUUAACCUUUUUAUGUAUUGUGUCCUGUAUUGGAGUCUUAAACAUUGCAUGAUUAGGAUAAUUUAUUUCACAAGCUUCCAUAAGCAUAGUUUGUAUUUUGCAGCAAAAAUGAAAUAUGUCAAAUGAUUUUUGCUAAAAUUCAUCCCUUCCAAAUUUUACAGCUGAGCCAAAGUGAAAUAAUUGAGGCAUAUGGUACGCGACACAUUGGUCGUGAUCAAGCUCGAUCACUGGUUGGUUUGAUGGAUUUCUUCUGCUUUAGUGAGGUAUGUUCCUUGUCAUUCUAAUAAUUAGUCUAAUAAUAAUUGUCUAGUACAUGACUAGAGCACUUUUGGUAGUGUUGACUAUUGAAGCUUUGCCUCGGUAACAGCGAGUCUUGUACUUAUCUUCACAUGUCACAGAAGCUUAUGUUAGAUAACCAAGUAUCAGAGGAAAAUUAAGCAUGCUAGGCUGGUCUCCUUUUCUUUAAUUAUAGUUAUAUUAUAUUAUGUGUAACAGUCGUGUGUUUUAUGUAUUGUAAUAACUAUGGAAAUUAUGGAAGGCGUGGGGGAUGGCGGGGGGCUCUCGAAUCUUAGCAGGAAAACAUCCUUGUAUCUACAUUAUCCUUAUUCUCUGAAACUUGGGCCGGGUUCGCCUGCUUUAACUGCUUCACGCAGAACGCGAUCUCGGCCGUUAGAAACUGAUCUUACGAUUCUGAUUUGUUCCUUACAGUUUGAACAAUGUCACAAAGUUUCAAUCUCAACCGUUAUUUUUUGAUCGGACGGUCGGCAGCGGUUACUGUGUUGAUGCAGUAACUGCGUGAAAUCCGUUUCCCUGAAACUUCCAUGAUGUAUUUGCAUGUGAUUCUUGAAAUAAACGUGCAGCCCUCUGUUUGGCAUACUGUCACAGGGAGUUUGUUUUCAUUCUAUCCUAUUUUUCCUAUCUCUUGAUUAUACUACAUUAGAUACCAGUCCUAAAAGAUUAUCAUUCUUCAGAGUACGUGCAUCAAAAAACUACAUAGACAAAUGAUUGACUUCCAUUGACACAGCAUCUUCAAAUUUCAACCAAAAAGGCUUCGCCUAAUCCCAAUCUCAACCGUUAUUUUUUGAUCGGACGGUCGGCAGCGGUUACUGUGUUGAUGCAGUAACUGCGUGAAAUCCGUUUCCCUGAAACUUCCAUGAUGUAUUUGCAUGUGAUUCUUGAAAUAAACGUGCAGCCCUCUGUUUGGCAUACUGUCACAGGGAGUUUGUUUUCAUUCUAUCCUAUUUUUCCUAUCUCUUGAUUAUACUACAUUAGAUACCAGUCCUAAAAGAUUAUCAUUCUUCAGAGUACGUGCAUCAAAAAACUAUAUAGACAAAUGAUUGACUUCCAUUGACACAACAUCAAAUUUCAACCAAAAAGGCUUCGCCUAAUCCCAAUACAUCAGAAGAAACGGGCAUAAGAUGUGGAGCACAAUUAGAUAUCUGUUUACUACUUUCUUGUAAGAGAUAAGGUAUAGCUCCGGGAAUCGUGAUUAUACCAUCUUAGUUAAUGAAGAGCAGUGCUUAUAUAUCGAAUGUAAAAUGAACAUAAAGUUAACUAGAAUUGGAUAAAACUUGUUCUUUUAAGGCCCAUGUAUAUGUGCUUAUUUUGAAGGAAAGAAAAGAAAAACUUAAAUGAUCCUAAAAACUAGUUACAACCGAUUAAACUAAGGAUCCAUAUUUUGAUCAAGCCUAUAUUAGAGGAACUUAGCGUUAAUCUCAGUUAAAACUAUGCUGCCAAUUUCAUUUUCCAACUCCAUUAUAGCCUAUCAACUUACGAAUUCUCUUUCUGCCAUAAAAUCUUAGAUCGAGGGCCAAUUGUUUACGGUUUUACUUUGUAGGCAUGCCUCCUUGCAGAUAUAGUGCAGUACUUCGUGGAUGCUAAGCUAGAAUUUGAUGCUUCCUACAUUUAUGAAGAUGUUAUUCGUGCAAUUGAUCAUGUCCACCGAAGUGGCCUGGUUCAUAGAGGAAUUCUCUCUGAUCCACAUAGGUACUUGGUGAAAAAUGUAAGUUCAAAACAUUUUACACAUUUUGAUUAUCUGUAAAUGAAUGUGUUCAACAUAUUCUGCAAUAAGUGGUAUACAACAUGCUCAAACAAUCUAUUUCAGGAUCUAGUAUCUUAAUUCAGUUUGAAUAUUAUAUUUUUGUAUCUAUCUAUUAUCAAGGUAGACAUUGUUUUGUUGUGUCAAAUUGUGUUAUUUUAUCCUUUGGUUGAGAGUUUGUAAUUGUUAUUUACCUGUCUGUGAAUAUUUCAGGGAAAGAUUUUAUGUUUUCUCAAGAUGCUAAAGGAGAAGGGAAAGAAGCUUUUUUUGUUGACAAAUUCUCCUUAUUACUUUGUUGAUGGUGGGAUGCGUUUUAUGUUAGAGGUAUUUGAUUGCAUGUAAUCAUAUCCACACUUUUGUAUGUAUCAUGGAAUGUUUUCUUUAGCCUUCACUGCAUCUGUUAGAGUUUAAUAACUUUUUCUUAACUUGGGAAGUAGUCUUCCACAGUCUUUGUAUUUGUGGCAUGUAAAUCAAUUUUGAGCCAGACAGAGCUCCAACUCUACUUUAGCUUUUAUCCUGUUUUAACUUUCAAAUUGUUCUUCAAAGAGUGCUAUAGAGUAUAUAUGGAAUACUGAAUGCAAUUAAUUAUAAAUAAUGAGGAAAUUUACAUCCAGAUGAUGGCAGGCUCUAACUAGAGAUUCUAUUAGACGUUGCUUUCAUUUUUCUAGCUGAUUACUUAGUGUGGACUGUUUCAUCUUAGCAACUAGUGUCUAGUAGAGAUGCAUAUCCAACAUUAUCAGAAAAUUCUGGAGAUUACAGACUUCAUGGUCUUGUUCUUUAUUGUAAGACAUGUAUCUAUAGACCUUAAACUCGUGCAGGCAUGCCUAGUUUCUUUAUAUGACUUGACUUAAAUUGUUUCACUUAUAAUUGUUAUCUGAUUUUGGAGUGAAUUUGUGCUUUCUUAGUAUUUUUCCUAUCGUUUUUUUAUCAACGAGGAGAUUAAAUUUCAUCAAAACAUAGCCUGAAAAAAUAUUUUAAAAGGGUGGGAUAGCUACAUUCUUGAGUUAUGUGAACUGCACUUCCUCAGAUGGUUAACACCGACACUUGGUUGUCAGGACCUAUGAAGCACCGACACUCCUAAGUUUAGGUGUGUCGACAUGUCCGACACACAUCUGACACCUUACCUGUACGACAUCCGGACGACACUUGUCAGAUGCCUCACACAAGUAUCCCCCAAAAAACUUUGUUCUUCCUUUCGACACACGUCCAGCACUAAUUGGACACUCCUCCAAAAAGCUAGAGAGAUGAAGACAUCUAUAUUUUGAUAAAAAAAGAAAGAAACAAAAAGUUAGGCAUUUGAAAAGUUUUCAUGUCUACCUUCGAAACGAUUUAAUUUUCUACUGUCUUCAUUUUUCUUUCCAAUUUUCCUCCUAUUUCAUUUGUUAUGGUCUUCAUCUUCAUUCUGUCUUGGUGGUCAUCAUGAUUCUCAAUUUAGAUAUUUGAUAAUCGAUACUCAUUUUAUGUAAUGUGUGUGUUUGUGUGUGUGUGUGUUAUUUUAUGUCAUAUUUAGGACGUAAGCAGUGUCAAUGUGUCGUGUCCAGUGUCCGUGUCAAUCUUCAUGCUUCAAAGGUCACGUCUCUUUUAAUUGUUUGGUUGGAAGUUCUGCACUUGGUUUUGAAUGUAAUUUUUAAUAUUUUGUUUUUGUUUUUCCCCUUUUGUAUCAGGUCAUUAUUUCCUUCAGUUUACUCUUUAAUGUUUUUUAUUUAUUAGGAUUCUCUGGACAGUAGUGACUCCUGGACAGAUCUGUUUGAUGUUGUGAUUGCCCAGGCCAAUAAACCGCAGUUUUAUACAUCUGAGCAUCCAUUCCGGUUUGUAGCCAAUACAUACCAUGUGAUAUGAUGCUUGUUUAUAUUUUGUAACAUAGUUCUUCUAUAAUUUAGAUCACAUCGUUCUUUACUCGUAUCCUUUAUCAUAAAUCUUAAAUUAUUUGGAAUGGUUCCGAUAUCAUUGGCUAUUCUGUGCAGUUUAUAUGAUACAGAGAAGGACAACUUAACUUUUACUAAGGUUGAUGAAUUUCUUCCAAAUAAAAUUUAUUAUCAUGGAUGCCUCAAAUCCUUUCUCCAAAUAACCAAGUGGAAAGGCCCAGAGGUAUGCUUUAUUUAAUGUUUUAUAAGCCAUACUUCACAAUAUUUCUUCUAUUUACUUCAAUUUGACAAUAUACGUUAAUUGCAAAGCAAAUGCAUAUUAUAGCAUUAAGUUUAUUUCAUACAGAGGCCACAGAAUGCUAAAAUUCACAUCUUCUAUUAGGUGAUAUAUUUUGGAGAUCACCUUUUUAGCGACUUGAGAGGGCCCUCAAAGGCAGGCUGGCGCACAGCUGCAAUCAUUCAUGAAUUAGAGGUAUGCAUGCUAUCUAAUCCAUUUAUAUGUAGAUUUUUUACAUUGCUAAUCAUUAUCUAUCAUAAGUCUGGUUCUUCUACAUGUUGAUGAGUAUCAUUAGUUAGCAUUCCUUCUUCACGAGUUUCAUAUAACUCUGGUAAACAUGCUAAUACUCUACUAUAACUUGUUUCCUGUCUGCAAGUAUAUGCCUAUAUUUAGACAUUUUACAUCGUCAACCCGAAGAAGGGUGAACUCAUUCAUGAUAUGUUAUAGCCAACUUUAUCUUUCAUUUGCUGGAACGUAAUCCCAUGACUUGAAGUUUUGAUGUCCUAGACACACGUAAUUGUUAAAAUGUCAAUAGGAAUCUUAAAGGUUAUGCAAUGGUAAGAUAGUUAUGUUUGGGAAUUUCAUUUAAGAAGUUAAAUUUUACUUGAUGAAUGUUUUCUUGAAGUUAAAGGGGGAGCCUUGGCGCAACGAUAAGUUGUUGUCAUGUGACUGAAAUGUCACGGAUUCAAGUCCUGGAAAACAGCCUCUUGUGUAAAAACAGGGUAAGGCUGCGUACAAUACACCAAAAUGGUGGGACCCCUUCCCCGGACCCUGCAUAUGCGGGAGCUUUAGUGCACCGGGCUGCCCUUUUUAAUGUUUCAUUGAGGUACUGAUGCGUGUAGAACUGUUGUCAUUGUCAACACCUGAAACAUUGACAUAUUAUUUCUUCAACAAUGCAGACUGAAAUACAGAAGCAAAAUGAAGAUACGUACCGCACUGAGCAGGUAUCCUUAUAGAUUGUCCUUGCUAAAAUUAUUUCCUCGCAAUUCUAAACUUGCACAUUUACUUUGAUGAUUUUUUGUUACUUUUGGUAACAAUAAGUUUAUGGGAAUUGAUGUUAUUUAUUUUGCAUAAGAAGUUUAUUAAUUAGCAGAACACUAUUAUUUUCUCGGAGUAAAUUGAGCAUCUAGUUGUUUAAUGCCUUUUCUUAGAGCACCGAGACACAAGUUAUUGUUUUUCUUGUACAAGUUAUGGCGUGAAUAGUGAUAUGUUACGAUUUAUAAUCCCGUUUUAAACAUUAAAUAAUGUUAUACAUGGGUAAUAUAUAUUGAAAAGUUGACAUGUGAGUUGUAAAUGGGGGUGUGUGUGUCUAUGGGCCCGUUUGUUACGGAUUAAAAUAAAAGUGAUUUUGACAUAAAAUAAUUUAGAGAUUAUAAUUUACAGAUUUUAUGAAAAAUCAGAAUCUAUUUUGCGUUUUUUUACCGUACUAAAAAUCACUUUUUAAAAUAAAUAAUCUAGUUUGUUUGGAUACAACUAUAUAAAAGGGAUUUUUUGUUACAAAAUUAGUUCAAUCUUUUAAACCAUAUUUUCUCUCUCCUCUAAAAAAAAUCUAUUUUUUGAGAAGCUGCUCUUAACCGCUUCUCAUUUGAAGCUGUUUUUAGAUUUUUUGUAGAUUCUGAUUUUUUUUAAAAGUUGUAACAAACGGAUGCAAAACUCUUAAAAGUGAUUAUUUUUUUUUUAAAAAGUAAUUUUUUUUUUCUUAAAAAAGCUAUAGCAAAUGGGCUCUCUCUCUCUCUCUCUAUAUGUAUAUAUAUAUAUAUAUAUAUAUAUAUAUAUCUAAUUUACAGUUUUGUCAUAAAAAAAAUUGGAUUUAAUGUUGUUAAAAAAUGGUAUAAAUGAACAAUUUAUAUAGUUAUUAUAGAUAGAAAGUUCCUUAUUCUUUAUUUUAGGCUUAUAAUUAACACUUUAGCAGUGUAAUUACUUUUGGAGAGAUAUCUUGAAGCCGUCACAUUUUAUGACUUAUAUCCUGUUCAACAAUGCAGGCAAAGUUUCAUAUAAUACAGGAGCUACUUGGUAAGUUGCAUGCAACUGCAGCUAAUAGUGUGAGAACUGUAGCUUGCAAAUCACUUCUGGAAGAACUUAAUGAGGAAAGACAAAAAGCACGGAUCAAGAUGAAGAUGAUGUUUAACGAAUCUUUUGGAGCAACAUUCCUCACUAGCACAGGACAAGAAUCUGCUUUUGCUUAUAACAUUCAUCAGUAUGCAGAUGUUUAUACCAGUAAGCCGGAGAAUUUUCUUCUUCAUUCACCUGAAGCGUGGCUUCAUGUUCCAUUUGAUGUCAAGAUUAUGCCUCAUCAUGUGAAGGUAGUGCAUUUCUUCUUUAUGAAUGUUAUUUAUGUCACUAAAUCUCACAUGUUUUUUUCUUCAAGAACUGAAUGAAAAUCCACCUGUUAUCCCAUGCUUCCUGAUUUUGAGUUAACUGUAUGUAAAAUUCAGCUUCCCUUCUUGAGAAUCAUGAAUUGGUGGUGUAUAGAAUUGUCUCUUAACAAAAUACAUUCCCUCUGAUUUCGUAUUGACUUGAUAUAGUUAUGAAUGUUGUAAAAUGAACGUAUAUUGCUAAGUUAUUUCAAUUAAUUUAAAUUUAAUUAACUUUCACACCACGUAUUUUAGCUUCUUUCAAGACAAACUAUGUACCACUUGGCGACUGAGAUCUGCCAACUUAUUGAUUCGGUUUCAGGGUUUACAAAUACUAGCUGCCAUUUUGCAGUAGGGUGAAAGUUAUUGUCUUCUGAAGACGAAAAGGAUUUGUUAGUCACUCGUGUGCGAGAGGGAAUUCUAUAAUUUUAGAUAGUUUGAUUGAUACCUCUGGUUUGACAGUUUGCAGGGUAUUUUUCUUUUGUAUGCUGUACAUGAAAAAUGUUACUUAUUUCCUCCUUCCUCCUGUGUUUUCUCUUUUUAAAUCAUUGGCUGAUUAUCCACUUUUUCUUUUCUUUCAGAUUCCAUCAAGUUUGUUCAAAACUGGAUGAAUACCACUCUAAAUUGCUUCAAACUUUUACUGUCAUUCUGCAGUUCUAACUUCUAAUGGAACAAUCAGUCAAAAAAACUUAUAAUGGGACAAUGAUGCCGGCGAUUUGAAUGUGCAUUUCAUUGUCUGAGGUGCAACUGGAAGACACUUGUUGCCGCUGUAACAUUCAGUCAAUUUUCAAGUUUUCUUGAUUACCCCACUUCAUCUUGCUGUUGCUAACAUAGUCUCUUAUGUUUCACAUGAAAUCAGGAAAGUGAAACCCCUAUACAUAGAAAAGUAUAUAUUUCUUCAUAUCAUCAACGACUCAGAAGUUUAAGCACUUCUUUUUUGAGAUCACAGAAAGAUUCCAUUUUUCAGAAGAAAUAAAGAAUUCGUUAUUGAGAUUUUGAAUGUAUAAGAGAUUUAGAAAGUACUUUAUUAGAGAUUCAAAUCUAUGUUAUUAAUUUUGUAAUGACCGUUAAUCCAGCAAAGGCAUGCUGGUUAUCAACGUCAACAUGUAGUUGUGUGAGAAAUGAUCUUGGCCGGUUUAUUCAAGCAAGGAUUGAGUGGAGCAUUAUUUACUUGUCUGUUGAGUAAGUAGAGGUUUGGCUCUACAUUGGUGCAUUGAUCUUAAAUUACGGAUAUUGUCAUUUUUUUGCAUACCAUGUAAUUCUAUUUUUUUUCUUCUUUCAAAACAAAAUGUAAUUCUAUUUUUGCCACCUCACUUAUAUAAUCUAAACGGUCAUAAAAUAUACAAACAAAAUUCUCAACAUCUAUUAUUUGUCUUUCUUCCUCUAUUUUUUUUGGUGAGAAAAAGGGGCUAAGCUCAAAAAAAAAAAAAAAAAAACAUCUCUAGGCAACGAAAUACAAGUAGCAUAUGCCAAUGAAGUCAUUAGAAAUAAAAGCACGAAAAAAUUCAAACAAGUUAGUAGCCAGCCAUUACCUUUUUGAGAUCCAAAAUCCAUUCACUUCUUUUAAGUAUGGCUCCGUUUGUCUUAUAUUUUUUAUUAAGAAAAAUCACUUUUGUCAUUUUUAAGAGUUUUUGUUUAGGAUUUAAAAAAAAAUCUAUUUUCACUCUAAAAUGAAAAGCUAUAAGGAUUAGCUUUUUUCAAAAUCUAUUUUUUUUCAAACAUUAUGAGGUAAGACAUGAACUAGUUAAAAAACAUUUUUUUAAAAAAAGUUAUUUUUUUGCAUAGUAAACAAACACAAAUAACUUCAAAGUUUUUUUAAAAUGUUAGGAUGAAUGUGUAAACUGUCUUUACAAUGUUAGUGCACUCUAAUUACACUCUAGAACUCACACACACAAAUGUUAAAAACUUAAUAUAAUUCAUAUAAACAAUGAAAUGAUGUUUUUUUUUCUCAUGAGAUGGUGUUUUCUAAAAUAUAAAUAAUGACAAAUAACAACUUAUUUAAUAAAAUGAUCAUUAAUUUAUAAAUUUAUGAAGCAGAGUAUCGGUACACCUCAAUUUGUGAGGUGUACCGUAGAAGCUCCCUGUAUGUGUGUGUAUGUGUGUGUGUAUUAUAUAUAUAUAUAUAUAUAACCACUUUUUUUUAUCGAAUUGAUAUCUACAACCUCAAACAUAUUCACAACCUUUAACAUGUUUCUACUACGAUUGAUUAUUGAUGUAUAUGCAACAACGAUCAUAGCAAUCUUCAACAACCAUCACUAACUUACUUCGUUAUCAAUUUAGAGAGUUGUAAUAUGUGCGAACAAAUAUGCAUCCUUUUGUUAUGUUCUUCGCCAAUAACCAUGCAAUACGUGGGUCUAGUAUAAAAUAUUAGAAAGAUAAAUAUAUACUUAUUUUUGAGAAAUUAUGAAUGUGGAAACAAAUAAAAAUAAACCAGUUUGUACGGGAAUAAGAUUAAAAUAAACUAGCUGCAAUGCAAGAAUUGCACACAUCGUGAAGUGGUCUACCAAGGAAAAUUGUCUCAGACCAAAGUACAGAUGAGGAAUAUAUAAAGAAAAAUUCAAAUUUGAAGAGAAAUCAUUGGUGUAACUAAUGCUAUAAUGAAGUAAAGGAUGAGAAUAGUACAAAUCUAUCUCAAAGAAAAUUUGAAAUCAUUGGUAGAUAAAAUGUAUUAACCAUCAACAAGUGUCGUAAAAAUAUUAUUAAUAAACCAUAUUAAUCAUUAUAAGGGAACUGAUAUGCUUUAGGAUCAUGAAACCGUUGCCUUAAAAUAUCUCCACCUAAAAUAAGUCAUUCAGUAUGAGUUAUUUUUCUUAUAUUCCCUUCAUUUGAUCUAUCAUCACUCACUAGAAUUCCAACAAAGUAAAUCAUAAAAUCAAAACUCAAAUAAAAAUGAAAGAGAUAUAAAUCUCAAUUAAAGAAAUGAUUUUUUUUUUUGUUGUUGGAGGAAAUACAAAAAGAAUGUGUGCCUAAUCUCAAGAUAAAAUUACACAAAAACAAAUGCAAUUGUUAAUGAGCAACAACUUCUGCAUGCUAAGAAUAGUUACCAUUUGUAAUCUCUUCUCAUUGCUUCAAUUCUUCCAAGGAUUCCCUUAACAGCUACAUCAAACGCAUCUUCAAGUGUUUCUAAUCUAGAACUUGGAUAACGAUACACAAUUCUUGGAAUUAGACUUAUAACCUCAUUUCUCAUAGCAAACACUUCCCUUUUUGAAAAAUUAAGCAAUGUCUCAUUGAUCAUUACCUUCUUCUCUUUGACAUCAAUUUCAUGUAGGAACACAGAGUAGUUGGAACUAUUUGUAGGAAAAUGCCACACAUAUUGCUUGUAUGUUGAUUUUGGAUGAAAGAAAACAGGAAUACAACCCGCCAAAAUCGAAUCAAAAGUUGAUCUCCUUGUGUAAGAAUCCCCCGGCGGUUGUAAACAAAAAACUGAAUUCCUAAAAACAUCCAUAACAUGAACAGGAUCGCCACAACGAUCUUUGUUAUAACCAUAAUAGCAUCCAACAAGUUUGCAACCCUUGGAAGAUUCGCAAUGUUCGAUUAACUCAUUCCUAAUAGAAGAUGUUACAUUAGGCCUUGGAGCACCAACAAAUGAAAACAAAUAUUUCCUUUUCAUUUUUCUCAUUUUUCUUUGCCACCCAAAAAUUUGAGCAUCAUUAGUAGGAUGAAAAUAAGUUGGAUAUGGAAUUGAAAAUUCAUUAUCAUAACCACAUGAUUCUAUUGAUAACAUCGACAUGUUACUUGCUUCCGGUAAAAACAUCAACUUUGUUCCCCAAUCUUCAUUUUCAUCACUUCUUCUUCUAAAAUCAUAACUUAUUCUUCCACCAACCAUGAAAUGAUCCUUACCAUAUACUCUUUUCCAUUGAGGUUGUUGUGCUAACCAUUUCACUAAUUUUUUUGGUGAUUCAUCUCUUAUUGAAACAUUAAAUCCCCAAAGAUAUUGACUUAUAUCAAGACCAGCAUAGUAUGGUACAUAAAUUGCUGAAGCCAACGAUGAAUCAUUGGUUAAACACUUGUAAUGUUUCAUCAAGUUGUGGAAAAUUACUUCUAGUGAAAAUUGAUUUGUUGCAUACCAAUUCUUCUUUGAUAGCACCUUCUUUUUUGAUUCCUCAAUAAUCUUAGGUCCUAAACCUAAGUUUGAUAAGUAAAGACACAAAUCUUCCCACUUCAAGAGAGUGUGGCAUCUUUUCAACAAAUCCUUAUUGAACCUACUAGGAAGAUCAUAAACGUAAAUAUAUCGGCCUAAACAAGGAUCGAGAAUUGUUGGGGACAGCUUCGUAAAUACUUCAUCGACAUUCUCUUCAAUCAAAGGAGGGGAAACUAUGGGUGCAUAUGUGGCUCCAAUAUUGGUAACAUUGUUUUGAUUAGUAGUAGUGGUACAACAAAUAGUUUCAUCAAAAUGGGAAGAAAAAUUUGAGGGUGUAGUAGCUAUUUCUUCAAAACGCUUUGCAUUAUUCAUGUUAGGAAAUAAGAAUGUGAUUUCACUAUCAUUGCUAGCCAAAUAAGAAUAAUUUAGAAAAAGUAAUGACACACAAACAAUAGAGAAUGUGAUUAGAAACACAAACCGGAUUUGAAACAAGUACUUCCUCAACAUUGACAUGUCCAUCUUCUUUUUUCCUAUUCAGAUUGAAAAUUGUUUUUUUUCUUUCUAUGAUGAUUUUGGAAUACAAGGAGAGGGGAGGUAGAGGGGUUAUUGUAUGAGAGAGAAAAACUUGAGUGUUAAAUGAGGAUUUCUUUAAGGGAAAGAUAUUAAAACAGAAUAAAAAGAUAUUUUUGCCCUUAAAGGAAGAGAGAAUAAGAAGAAUUCACUGAUGAUACAAGGAAGUAAAAACGGACUGUUAACAUUCUUAUAAGAAUGUUUAAUGAGUGAAUCAAAAUAAUAAAGAGAAAGUAUCAAUUGAUACCAAAUUCUUGGUUCCAUAUUAAUGUAAUUAAAGGCUCAAAAUUACUGACUUAUGUGAUCUCCAUUUAUUUACCUUGGUGCACGUAUUCUUCGCAAUUUCUUGUCUCAGUCCUGAAAAGUCAAAAGUGAUUUUCGCUAAUCACUUUGAAUGGAUACUUAAAAUGAUUGCAUUUACAUUGAUACGAACAUGAGUGCAUGCAUUAUAUGGAUAUAUGAUUUUUUUUUUUUUAAAUUGCGAAUAUGGAUACAUAAUUUUUUUUAAUUGCAAAUAUGUUAGUACAAAUAUAAAAAUAUUAACUUUUAAUUAACAUUUCCUAAAAAAAACUUUUAAUUGACAUGACAAGAUUGUAUAAAAAUGAAAAUCACAAAUAUAUAAAUAAAUGUGGAGUGUUUCAAAUAAAGAGAAAAAAAAAUUCUCAAAAAAAAAGAAGAAGAAAUAAGUAUUGGGAUCAACUUAUUUUCUAAUUAAAUGUAUUACCAAAAAUAGAAUUAAAAAAUAUGCAGAAAAAAAAACUAUACGAUGAAACCCUCUAAAAGAAAAAACUAUACGAUUAUAUGAUUGGAGCAUGUUCAAAACAAUUACAUCGUAGGUGUACAUAAAUUGCAUUUUUUAAUUUAUAUAGAUUAUUAUUAAAUAAUUUUUACACUAUCAAUCAACCAUAAUAAUUUAAUCAUUAAAAGUGAUUUUUAUAUCAAAAAAUAUCAUUAAAAUCGGUUUAGUUUUACAGAUACAUUAUAUGAUUGAUGAUUGAUAUAUAAUUUGUCCAUAAUAUAAAAUUUCUUAUGGUGUAUCAAAAUUAAUAUUUUUUUAGAGACAAAAAAGUAGUCUUAAACAAAUUUGUCUAUAAAAAAAAAAUUAAUUAGAAUACUCUAACAGUGUAAAACCACUUUACAUUAUCAACCAAUCAAAAUUACUCUAUCAGACACAUCAGCGUUUUUUAAAAAUAGAAAAAAUUAAAUAAAAUCUUCUGUAAUAACUUCCUCCUACGUUAUGUAUUUUUUUUUUUCAUUAUGAUAUUGUCUGUUUUCAUCCUUUCAAAUCCAAUUUUCAUCUCUCUCACCUCCCACACCACCUCUUCCAUUACAUCCAUGUCUGUAAGGCUACUAGUUUCUACAUACUACAUAAGAUAAAAUUUCUCUGAUUUAAUGAUUUUUCUUUGUAAUCAAGAGUUAUCUGUGAAGAAAAUAUAAAAAUAUGUGAAGAAGAUAAUACCUAAAAGAUUAUUUUUCAGUAGAUUUAUGAAAUGGCUCCAAUUUAUAUGAAAAUUUGAUUUCCUUUUUACAAAUACAGAGGAUCUCAACUCUGGCUCCAAUUCAUGCAAUGGCGGCUAUGAAGAAUUGUUUGUCAAAUAAUGUACAUUAAUUUUGUAACGUGGUGGAAACAUUCCUAAAGUAAAUAGGCCUAGAUUUUAACAAACAAUGGUAGGUAAAUAAAAUCAAUUUGUAUAAGUAUUACAUCUUUAUAGGAUGUUGAAUAUCAGUAGUUAAUUUUUUGACUUUAUUUUGCAAUAUCCCUUGUUUUUAGCUUUUACUAGUACAACCUCAGUUUUACUAGCAUGCUAAAUAGUGUUAGCAUAUUUAAUCAUGAAAAGAGAAACAAAUUGAAAGAGGAAGAGAUGAAGAAGAAUGAGGACAAGAGUGAAAAGAAGGAUGAAGGAGAAAAUAAAAAAGCAUUCUUACUCUUUCGUGCAGAUGGAUGAGAGAGAACGGAUCGAUGCAGUCAAAAGCUUAAAUUUAAAAUCAUGGAAAUAAGGUAUUUAUUAGAAAAGAUUUGAUUUGAUUUUCUCUAUUUUUAACAUAUAGGUUGACGCGUCUAAUUGAAUAGUUUUAAUUGGUUGACAGUGUAAAAUGACUUUACACUGUCAUAGUAUUCUAAUUAAAACUCUAAAAAAAAAAAGAAUUUUACAUAAAAAUUACAUUAUUUUGCUAUAUGGUUAGUGUGAUCGAAAAAGAUAAACAUCAUUUAUUACAAUUUAAAAGCCAUAAAAUAUUUAUACUUAUAAUUUUAAUAAAAACCAAAAUUUCAUUAAAAAAAAUCAUCGUUCAUAAUUUUUAUGCAUUAGCGCAAUAAAAAAACCUAAAGGAAAAGAUGUAGUCCCGUCUGAACGUUGAUGUUUAUAUAAAGAUAAUAUUGGUGUAUUCAUGCAAAUUUAAUAGUUAAAGUAUUCGUGUAUAUUUGUCUAUCUCCUAAAAAAAAUGUUUCUUUGUCUAUGUCUUCAAACCAUGCACAAUAGAGCACCCUAAAUUAGGUGCUUAAAUGAGUUCCUUAUGUCUACAACACUCAUUUUACUAUAAUAUUUAAUAAGCAUCAAUUUUUUUCAUUCCAGCAUCUAAAAAAAAUUAUUAAAUAGGUCCCAUAAAUAAUUAUAUAUCAUUACAUUUCAACAAAUUUUAUUUAUAUUAUUAAGAUUUAUUAAAUGGAAUCCACAAAAAUUGGAGAGAGAGAGAGAGAGAGUGAGAGAGAGCUCCCAUAUGCACCCAUAUAUUAUAAUCUACAAUAUGGGUGUCUGCUUAACGUGGUGCUAAAUAGGUAACCAUUCACCAUUGAGAAUGGUCUCAUAAACUAAAUCUGAGUGAUUACAUCUUAAAGUUUCACAUUGUUUGAGAGUUGAAGUUAUCAAGGAUAGUUUUUAUACAACACUCAUACUCUUCAAUUAAACGAGACGUCUUUUAUAAAGGACAAAAAUUGAAGUGAGAGAGAGAGAGUGAGAGAGAGAGCUCCCAUAUGCAUCCAUAUAUUAUAAUCUACAAUAUGGGUGUCUGCUUAACGUGGUGCUAAAUAGGUAACCAUCCACCAUUGAGAAUGGUCUCAUAAACUAAAUUUGAGUGAUUACAUCUUAAAGUUUCACAUUGUUUGAGAGUUGAGUUAUCAAGGAUAGUUUUUAUACAACACUCAUACUCUUCAAUUAAACGAGACGUCUUUUAUAAAGGACAAAAAUUGGAGUGAGAGAGAGAGAGAGAGAGAGCUCCCAUAUGCAUCCAUAUAUUAUAAUCUACAAUAUGGGUGUAUGCUUAAUGUGGUGCUAAAUAGGUAACCAUCCACCAUUGAGAAUGGUCUCAUAAACUAAAUUUGAGUGAUUACAUCUUAAAGUCCCACAUUGUUUGAGAGUUGAAGUUAUCAAGGAUAGCUUUUAUACAACACUCAUACUCUUCAAUUAAACGAGAUGUCUUUUAUAAAGGACAGAAGUAUAAAUGGCUUACUUACAUCUAAAGCUCACAAUACCUCGAAACGUGAUGUGACAUACUUGAGGGUAGAUCCACACAAUAAGUUAUGUGAUUAUGUUUAUGUCUCCCCAUUAAAAAAUAAUGUUUAUGUCUUAGCUUUAGAAAAACUUUUAGAAACCACACUUUUCAGAAGGUGCACUUUUGAAUGGAGAAAAACGCAAUUUUUGUGUCCCCAAAAAUGGGUAAAUCUUAUCUUUGCUCUCAUGACAUUUCACCUUAGAAUUCUGCUCUUCACCCAGCAUUUUUCGUUCGCGCCCUGCAGUCAUUCCAAAAAUACCCCUGCGCUAGUUAACUCAUGCAUGUUAUAAACUCAGUGUGAGUUAACUCACGCUAGGGAAAAUGUGAAUUUUCUUAUUCAUUUGGCAGCUAGUACUGCUUUAUGUGUAAUUGCUAUAUAUGCUAUACCAUGUAGCAAGCAACCUUGUUCUAUCCACUAGUUCAUAUUAAAGAAUUUUAUCUAGUAUAAACACCUGUGAUUAUACCAUGCAGCAAGUAACUCUCGGCUGAACAAGUGGAAAUUUUCUUAAGCUUUUUAGACAAUAGUGGUCGCCACCUAAUCAUAGGCUAAUAUAGCCAUCUUAACAUGUGUUGUUUGUCCAAAACUCCACCUCAUCCAUCUUCUUUUUCAUUGAAUGCAAUCUGGUCAACUUCUGAUUUUGGAUUGAAAUGCAUCUUGGCUAUGCAGCAAUAAAAACGCGACUGUCCUUUUGGAAUUAUGAACUAGCGUGAGUUAACUCACGCAGCGUUACUUAACUAGCGCAUAGUUUUACACUUGCGUUAGUUAACUAGCGCAAGGGUAAAUUUGAAACGGCUGCAGGGCGCGAGCAAAAUAUGCAGGGUGGAGAGCAGAAUUCUUCACCUUAUGAUUCUCGAACUCGAAAGCCACCACACAACUUAAAAGCCACAACCCUAACCCCAAAAAAUCAAAUUGUAUAGGUUGAGCAUUGAUGCUAAAAAUAAACUUACGAGAUUGGAGGAGAGUGGGAGAGAAGAUAAGAUAGGGAUGGCGUAUUUUUUUAAAAUUUAUAAAGUAUUCAAGCAAUAUAAAAUAGAACUACUGUUGAGAGGGAUCUAGUGUACCUUAGACUUAAUUUGGAUAAUUUAACAGGAUUUUGUAAACAGAUUUUUUUUAUAGUAAAAAAAUCAAACACUUCAAUUUCUCAUGCGUUGGAAACAUGAUCUUUUUUUAAAAAAAAAUCUUACUACUAGUUAAGGUGCUUGAAGAGUGGUCUAUGACCACUUAUUAGCAUUUUUCUAAUUUAAAAUGAAUGAAAAGAAGUGAAAUUGAAUGAAGCGGAAUAAAAAUUUCAUUUUACAAGUUUGGAUAUAUUUUUAAAGUUCGUUUCCCAACUAUUGUGCGUAUGAAAAAAUUUGGAUGGGAAGAAAUACACACCUUUUAUUCCCAUAGUUCCCAACAUGUUUCCAUUCCCAGCAUAUUUUUCGAAGAAGAUUAGUUACCACUAUGUUGUAAACUUUUACUUUUUUUAAGAGUAAACUUUUACCGUUGACACCGUAAGAUAAUUAUUAUGUAAAAUUAAAACAUUAUUCUUCAUGAAAAUAAUUUAAAUUUUUUAGCUUAUGAGAUGUCCCAUUCAUGAAAUAACCCACAAAUGAAUAUCCACAUAUCUACUAUGAUACUGACACUACUACAUAUAUAAGAUUUAGUAACACUUUAAAAUUGUAACUAAAUCAAAAACAACUGUUACUAUUUAGAUCUUGUAACAUUUGACAAAUGUUAGGUAAAGCCGUGUUACUAAAUGAUUUCAGUAACAUUUGAGAGUAAAACUUGCAACACUUAAAAAUUGUUACUAUGAUAAUCCGAUCAGUGGUUCCAGGGAAGAAUACAUAUUCUGAUAUUGUGCUAUGUUAAUUAAUGCUCACAAAAUAAGUAUAGACAGACUAUGAAAAAUUACAGAUAUAGAUAUAUCAAAUCAUGAACUCGGGAAACAGUCUAAAUGGUUCUACAAAUUCAGAAAACCAAUAAUUUUUGUAGCAGGAAUGUUAUAAAAGUUUACCUCCAAAUCCCCAAUGUUCAGCUCAUCAACUAAUUAAGUCAAAAUUCUAACAACCUCAAAAUCUGGAGCCAUUUUUUUAGAUGAACCAGCAAUAUCAAAGCCACAUUGAUAAAAUUCAGGGUAUCUUCCUUUAGAUGGAUUUUCUCUUCUGUAGGCUUUAGCUAUUAGGUACCUUUUUAAAGAUGUCAGACCAUCCAUAUCUGCAAAUCUAGAAAAUGGAACUAUCAAGUCAGACCUCCAAGAACAGAGCUCCCCACCCUGUUAAACAAGUUGAUUACCAGUUAGCAUGAGGUGAAAUUUAACUUUAUCUAUGGAUUUGGUGCAAACAAAUCCUUAAUGGCGGUCUGGCUUAAAAAGCAGAAAUCUAGAUUCAUGAACAACUUGUUUCACUUAUAGAGAAAAAAUGUUAAAAAAUUUCAUUUAUUUGAAUGCUGUAAAAAAAUAUUUCUCCCAAAUAUUCUUAAAACAACUUAAGUAGUUAAGAAGUGAAUAACCGAUAAAACCUUAUCAGCAAUAUCAUAAACCAACUUUGAGAUUUCUCCAUAUUUUCCUAUGAGAGCUUCUCUCAAUUCAAAGACCGGUGUAUCCAAGGUUGUGGCGCCAUGCCUCUCAAAAACUUCUACCAUUACUGAAAAUGCUUUCUUUCUAAUAGUCAUUUGUUCUUUAGCGAAAUCAUGUGUCCCCUAAAUAAUUAGAACUUACAAUGAUCUAUGCUACUGUGAAGUGUCAAGCAAGCUAUUUUCUUGUAAUAGACUCAAGCUGAUAAAUAGAAUAAACUCAUUAAUAAUUAUUCAUGUGACAGAGUGGAUCAAAUAUAAUACUCACAAGUAACUUUGAUGGUAGGAAUAGGGAAACAUCUUUUGAUAUAUCUUCCCAACACAGGACAUGCCAAAAUCACAUAUACUUUCACCAAAUAGAUGACUUGUACCUCUUUUUCUGAAUCCUGCAAAAAACUAGCAGACAUAUUAGUAAGUAAUAGCAAUAUAUUAAACUAAAGCAUAGGAAAACUCAAGAAAAACAGCAUGUAAAAAUUAAUGAACUAAGGGAGGGAGAGAAAAAUGUCAUGACAGUUGUAGUCUAAGGAAGGGAAGAAUGGUACCUCUAGGCUACAAAACAAGUCCCUGGCAGAAAGGACUCAGACAAGCAUUGAUUCACAAAGAAUGCAGUAUCUCAUUUCACUGGCUUAGCGACACCAAGACUGUGAGAUUGAAAUUGAACUGUUUUAUCAAUCACUUCAUGACAAUGGAACAUUAACAUUUGCAAUAUUUGUAAAAAACUUGGAAAGAAAGAUGAGCAUUGGACCAUGCACAUAGUAAAAGGAAUCAUUUUAAAACCAAUCAAAGUGGAAGUUUAUACCUCAGAUGCCACUGUUCCCAUCUUGGUGCAAGCCAUCAAUCACACUUAAAGUCAUUGGCAGAUCUGCAAACAGAACCAAAUAAUUCAAAAACAAAGAUUAAGCCACCAAAUAUGGUAGAUUAAAUGGUAAACAACAAAACACAAUAGUCUCAAAAAGCAAAACAUAAUUUAGGAACAAAUAGCUUCCUUAGGCAUCAUAAUCCCAAUUGAAAAAUCUAUAAAUAAGUAAAUAAGCAUAUGUUUUUACAAAAAGUUCUACUUCUACCAACCAGUCAUCUUUCCUAAAUAAGCACACAAUUGCAAAACACAGUCAAAUUUCAUUGAGUCAAAUUAUCGAACACCUGAUAGGCAGCACAAUAAUACCUUGCUAAAGAAUAAUGAACAAGCUUCAACUGCAAUUGGAAGUUCAAUGCCGCUGCAUUUUUUAUGCUCUGAUGGCGGUGGUUACCGAAUUCGAUAAAAUCUCAAUUACAUCAAAAAUAAGAAUCAACUUAACCUAGAAAAUGUCAAUUACAUCAAAUCAGAAUCAAAUUAACUUAGAAAAUGUCAACUGCAUCAAAUCAGAAUCAACUUAACCUAGAAAAGUAAAUUUCUUAACCAAAGUUAAUAAUCAACUUAAAAUCAAAUCAAAUAAACCUAGAAAUAUCAAGUUAUGAAUUGGAUUUAUUAUCACAUCACCUUAACUUAAACAUAAAAAAUUACCUCAUCAAAUCAGAAGAAUUAACCCAAAAAAUCCAAAUUUUUACUCAGCGAUUGGAACAGAAUGAGAUUGCGAUGAAGAAGUUGACCAGAACAAUUUCGAUGAAGGGAUUGCGAAGAGGAGCGAUUGUGAUGAAGAUGUGAGAGUGAUUGAAAUGAAACUGAUGAGGAGAUGUCAUGAAGAGAUUUUGAUUAAGCAAUUUUGACAAAGCUAUUUUGGGAUAAAGCCCUUCUGAGAAAAGUGAUUCUAUGAGAGAGAUAUCUGAAAUGAAAAAUAAAGUUGUAUAAAUCUAUAAAAGUUAAACUAAUUAAAUAGUAUUAAAAAACCUUUUUUGGGUGAAAUAAAACUGUAGUUUAAAUAUUAUUUUUAUAAUAUUGAAAAUAAUUGUUGUAGUGAUGUAACACUUUUUAAAAAAUGUCACAUAUAAGAUGUUGCAAAAGGUUAUAUGUGUCGUAGUGUGAACUAGUGAAGCAAAAUAGCAAAUGAGACAUUCCAACACAUUGUGCAACCAAAAUCAAUCACAACUCAUUCAUAAAACUCGUAUAUAAUCAAAUAAUUGCAAUGCAAAAUUGUAUUAAAAAAGCAAUAAGCCAAGUUUUACAAAGGCCCCGUUUGGAUUGGCUUAUUUUGAGCUUAUGUGGGCUUAUCUACUAACAUAAGCCUUUUUAAAGGUGUUUGGGUAAAUAAAUAAAAAUAGCUUAUCAUAGUUUCAUAAGCUGCUUAUGCCAUAUUUUAAUAAGCCUAAAUUUUCAGCUUACCCUCUGGCUUAACAAGGAGCUUAUGAAUUUAUGUAACCUCCUUCGAUUCUCUCUGGAUCCACUUUUUCAAAACAUAUAUUUUAAUUAUAAUUUUUUUUGAAGGAAUAUUUUAAUUAUAAUGUUAGUUAUCUUUGGCGGUGCAUCAGUAACAAAAUUGCUAUAUACUUAUCUUACUAAAGUAACAAACGUAACUAAGAUUUUUUUUUUUUUAAGAAGAUUUUUAUUAUUUUUUUUGUUACGUAACAAAAUGAAACUGAAUAAAAAAACAAAUUUAACUUGUCUUUUUUGGGUAACAAACUGCACACUAAUAUCAAUAUAUAUGAUAUGUUUAUUUACACCUCUAAUGUUAAUUUUGUCUUAUAUGAAUAUUGAUAUUUUUUUUAAGGACAAAUAUUGAUUAUACUAUAUAUAUAUAUAUAUAUAUAUAUAUAUAUAAUUAUAAUUAAUAUGUUAUAAUAUUGUUUUUUUACACCUUGAUUAAUUUUAUCAAAAAAAAUCUUGAUAAUUGUGGUUCAAUUCUUUGAUUUUUUUGUUAAAUUAAAAAUAUUUAAAAUUUCGAUAAUUGCUUAUGUAAUGUCACAUCCAAACACUUCAAUUUAUGUAAGUACUUUUUAGUGUACAUAUCCAAACAUAAAUAGCUUAUCAAGUAUAAGAGCUUAUGAUAUAAGCUCUAAUGUUAUAAGCACUAAUGCUAUAAACAUCUAUAUAAGAUGUUUAUCCAAACGGGGCCAAAAGCUCAAAAAUAAUUACAAUAUAUCAAUAACUAUCUUUAUAUUGUAUCAAUAGCAAUGGAUUUAUAAAUGAAUAGCUAGCAAUAGCAUAAUGGAGGCCACUUGGAGAAGGAGAAGAACGCACGGGAAACCAAAAAGAAAAUUAGAAGAAACGAACUAUUCAGUGAAAUAGAAAAUAAGGAUAACAUAGUAUUAUAUGAUUAAUAGAUUCCAUUUCAUUGCAUACGCCUCAAAAUAGAGGUAAUGAACAAUUGGAUAAAAGGAUGGUUUGAAAUUGAAUGAAUUUCAUUUCACUUUUUUGCAAAAAUUAAAUAACAGAAUUUAACUUCACAAUGCUUCUUUUCAUUAUAUUUCAUCAAUUUCAAAAAGUUGUGUGGAGAUUUUACCAUUUGUGAAAUUAAGGGUCAGAGUUUUUACCGCAGAACAGACAUGUGGUCAAACAUGAGAAAACAUAUUCUGACAAUUUACAUGUUUUUAUUUGCUUUUGACACUUUUGACUUUCUAGUAUCAGAGGUUGUUGACCUUCCACAUAGAGUUCAAAGGGCCAUGCAUAACAAUGUCAUGACUCUUAAGUCCAUAAAUAUUGUAUUUACAAAGAUUGGUUUUGCUAUCCAAAAAGUUCUAACUCCAUAGCUUGUUGCCGCCUGCUCGCCUUCUAUUCAUGUAUAAUUAAUCGUUCUUCAAUAUAAACAAAGUCCAUUAAUCAUAAGUACGUACUUAUCCACAUAGUCGGUCGUAAAUUUUUUGAUGCCGUGGAGGUAAUUUUUUUUGUUGCAAUAAAGACUUAAUAUAAAAGACAUGUAACAAAUGUCAUUAAUGACUCAAAGUUUCAAACCAUCUCAAGACCUUAAUAAGAGUUUGUUGACGAAAGUACUUACAUGUUAUCCAUCAACUAUAACUCACUGUCAAUUAGAAAUAUGAAUCAAUCAUUACCAUAAUCCAUUGGUAUCUUACGUGGAAGUUGUCUGAUCCCUAAAAAUCAAGGUGCAUGCGCGUGCGUCAAUAUAAAACAAAGUGAACUACAAGGUGUGUGCUGCUGACUGCUGAUCUAGUCAUCUCCACUUGCAUUUAUAUGAGAAAAUAAAAUAUUUUCAUUGGAGCAUUAUGCAGACAAGAUAUAUGCAAUCAUGAUCCAUGAGGACUAAAAUAAAUAUGUUUUGUUUUGCAAAAUUAUAUUAACCAACAAUAAAUACGCUAAAUUGCAUUUUUUUUCCCUUAAUUAAAAUUCGAUUUAUUUUGGUCCCUUAACUUCUCUCCGUUACACAUUUUGAUCCUUUCUGUUAGUUUUAAUUCAAAAACGUUAGGUUUUCUUCAUCUUCUUCUUUUUUUCAUCUUCAUAUCAUCUCCAUCAACCUUCAACAACAAGAAUCUCAGAAAAAUUUCAGAAGAACAUGAAGAAAAUCUAACAUUUUUUAAUUGAAACUAAGGAAAGGACCAAAAUGUGUAAUGGGGAGAAGUUAAUGAACCAAAAUAAAUCGAAUUUUAAUUAAGGGACCAAAACGAUGCUAUCUAAAUAGUUAAGGGACCAAAAAUACAAUUUAGCUCAAUAAGUGCUUAGCAAGACUUUAACUCUGAAUUGAAUUUUUAUACAACACUCCAUUGUUCAUUAUUUUGGUGCUAUGCCAAUAACUAUGAUACUAACUAGUCUAUAACACACUCCGCUCUUUGUGCAAGUGCCAAAUCUAACGGUCUGCAGAUGGACCCCUUUCUUUUAUUUGAAAUUAUUGUUUCUGUUUUUUCUUUUCACCAAUAUUGUUGUUUGUGUUACAAUCAUUAUUCACCACUUGACCCCAUUUUCACUUCCUAUGUAUGCUACAACAACAAUAGUAGAAAUCAAACUGAUACAGAUUCUUGAAUCCUAUCUUCAAGCUUCAACGACAUUCUGAUCCUCUCUUUCUUUCUUUUCUGCUAAUGCAUGAUGCUCCAAGUAUUCUCUGCUGUUGAUCUCUGUCAGUCUGUAUUCAAUUUGUCACAUAAUUAGUAAUCAUUAAUCAUGGUCAUUUCUGCACUAUUUUGAAAUUAAAUUUCCUUGCUUUAGUUCAUAUUGGUGUCAUUUUAAAUUUGUCACUAAACAUCCAUUUUUUGCCGUAUUUUAUGAAUAAAAACCAAACAACGGGGCAAUUUACAUUGCACUUGUAGCACCUCAACCUCUAGAGUUUGUUCAUGAUCUUAGACAAUUUAACCUAACCAAAACUAAUUAUACAUUUUUUUUAUAGAUAUAUAUAUCAUACCUACUAAUGGUGCGGUCUUUUGCAAACCCUAGUUCAUUGUCAACACAAAGGUCAGCCUCAUCAUUUUUUCUCGAUCUCGAAGAGGUCCUGGGUGCCCUUUGUUUAGCCUCGGAUAUUGUUACUAUUUUUUGAAAGAGAUCAAGAGGGCUACCAUCAGCUGAACACAAUAAUCUGGCUUUGUUCUCAUAUAUCACCUGUUACCACAAACAAACAAAGCAUGGCAUUAAUUUUACUCUCCCCGCAGGAAAUAGAAAUAUAGAGGGUAACUAAAAUGCAUAGGAUUAUCCGUCCCAAUGAUGCCUUAUCGAAGUGGAAUAAGCUUCAUAUUCUUAUAAAAUCAUUAAAAUUAGAAUUUCAGGUAUGCAACUUUGAUUUAUAACAAUUCUUAGCUUACAUAAUCUUAUUCAUAGCUAGGUUUAAGAAUCUCAUUCUUCGACUUUUCUGGUCAAAAGUCAAUAUCACAGGAAAUAGGGCAAGUGACUGGGCCUGGGCUUACAUAGCUAGGUUUAACUUAAGUAGAACAAACUAUUAAGAUAUGAAAUGCUUGGUAAAAUUUAAUCACACUCACAGAAGAGAAGACAAAGUUUAAAUGCGGGCAAACCAUUUAAAAGGACUUACAUCCACCAAAGUGACAAACCUAUGUGCAGCUGCUUUAUUACUAAGCCCAAAAAUCGGGAUGCCAUCAAGUGCUAAAGUAUGAAAUUUCUCUGAAAAACAAAAACAAGACAUUGUGUAACAUUGAUUUAUGGAUCUCUCAUAUAAUGGAAAUCUGUAAAAUUAUGAAGGACAACAAAUACUUACAGAGUAAUUGUAAACCGAAAUUAUCACAAUGAAAGAAAGAAUACAAAGUUUCCACAACAAUGAAAUCAUUAUCUGACUAUUAAUUUAAGGUUCCAAAAUUGAAACCCUCAUUUGCAUUUUGCAUGAGAAAAUUCAUUGAAACAUACAACUUACUGAAUAAUCCAAAAUAAUCUGCAGCUCCAAGAGGUUUGUCACAAAGUUCUUCAAAAGGAAAAUAGGCACAUCCAUUAGCUCCCAAUGGGACCUGAUGAAGAAAAUGAGCAAUAGCUAAAGUUUGAUGAUAACAACAACAACAACAAUAAUGAUAAUAGUGAUGUGCUCUCUGUAUGUGUAUCUACGAUAUAAAAUUUAACACAUACGUGAAGUUUUCUUCCCAUUACUACUUCCACUUCUUGGGGAGUAGGUGUGCCUUCUCCAAUCAACUGCUGAAACUUUUUCUUAAGAAAGCCAGACGAAUCACUGCCAACCAAAUAGAAUCCUUGGCCACCCUACAGUCCAAAUUAGCAAAAAAACAAAUAAUUUAAGAUCGACACAAGAAAAACUCAGUUACAUUAACAGAUAUAAGAGUGUACAUAUGUCAUACCGAAGUCAUUUUGCGGUAGUCAGUUGAUGAACCAAUCUCAUGAGCUAUGCAUCUUUCCUACAUCAGUAUACACAUACUAGAAAAUUAUUACAAAAACAAUAGCUUAUUUGACACCGUUCCAACUAUAAAAAUAUUUAAAGCGUACCUUCAAUGUUGCAAUGAAGGGUAGAAAGAGAUCCCUCUGCAGUCCACCUUCAUAUAGAUUAUCUGGAGCACGAUUUGAAGUGGAUACUAGAAUCUACACUUGUGUCCAAACACAUUGAAGAAAUGAAGUUUUGAAAUUAAUUAUGUAAUGAUUCCAUAAAAUCAAGUUGUAUAGAGGCUGAGACAUGGUUAUAUAUUACUUACAAUUCCUUUGCUGAAUAGAUGUCUGAACAAGCGAUUAAGUAUCAAUGCAUCGGCAACAUCUGUUACCUACAGAAGACCAACAAAUCUCAAGCUGUGACAACAAAGUAUCUGUGAUCUAUUGCUAAAAGAAAAAAAUAUACUAAAAUUUACCAUGAAUUCUGCGAUCUAUUGCUAAAAGAAAAAAAUAUAUCAUACUAAAAUUUACCAUGAAUUCUGCGAUCUAUUGCUAAAAGAAAAAAAUAUAUCAUACUAAAAUUUACCAUGAAUUCAUCAAGACAUAAUAAAACUGCUUCGUCAGAAAUCUCUCCUGCAACAACAUCCAGUGGAUCUGACAGGCCCUUGUGCUUCUACAAGGACAGAAAACAGAAAAACUGAAGAUAAGCUUCCUCAUAUUCUGUUUGUCAAUUAUGCAUACAAAGAUAACAUCAUUCUAGAGACUUCAAAAACAAAAUUAAUUAAUGCUCAAAGCAUAUCAUUUAAAGAUUCUUAAAUAAUUUCUUACUCCUAAAGAAUACAUAACUAUUGGAAUUCUUCCCUAUGUCGAGUAGGGCAUAAAAAAAAGGAUACAUCUAAAAGGUGGUGAGCAGUUUAUGUAAACUUACUUGUAAUAGGCUAUGUACAUUCAACAUGAAAUCGUGAAAAUGAAUCCUCUUUUUCUUCCAAUUUGAGGGCCUGGGGAUGAAAAAAAUCAAGCAUACAAUAGAGCUGGUCAGACUAUAAUGUUUAACCUCAUAAGAACACAUAGCAUAAAUAUUCGGAAAAUGCCUCAAAAUAUUCCCCUUACAGUGAGACUUGAGAAUGCCUCAAAAUAUGUCUCAAUAGCAUGUAAUACAAAAUUAAGAAAUCGACACAGAAGAAAUUAACAUCAAACUCACAAUUGAUCAUAAAACAAGUCCAUCAGCAUAGUUUUGCCAGUGCCUACUCCUCCAUAAAGAUAUAAACCUUUUACAGGUGAAUGCGAAGGAUGUGACAAGAGACGAGACCAAAGCCACCCGUGUCUAUAAAAAAAAGAGAGAGAGAGAAAUUAAAUCCAGAGCCUCAACAUGAUGUGAAAACAGAAACCAUAAAGUUCAAGAUUUGAACAGACAUAUCAGCAGGAAGCAAGAUAAAUAUCCUAUAUACCUUACAGGUUUUUCAGAAUUGCGAUCCAAUUGGCAUUCAUCGGCAUGCUCAACAAGCUCAUCAUAGAGUCUCUGAAGUUCAGUCAGUGUUUCAACCUACCUCAACAAAAGAAAGGGAAAAAAAUUUAAAUGAUGUAAUUACUAUAUCCUAAUAAAGUUCCAUGAAGAAAUGCAUGCAUGAAUGAUACAACAACUUCCAGCAACAUUUUCCCAAUAAGCCAAAGUAGGGAAAAUAAUUUCAUCAAUUCAAUUAUGCAUCAUUGAAAUACAGACAUUACCUGACAACUAUCACCAUCUACCAAUUCGCCAUUGGCAAUUCUCCGUUCAUACUCAACAAGAGGUCCACUUUUUUUAGUUACUGUAACAACAAAUUCCAAUAAAAAUGAGAUUAGAAAAAGAGAAGUUUCAAUUCACACUUGCAUAUUUCCAAUAAGAAAAUUGAGAUUCAAAAGGAGCUAAACCUCCAUUUGUGAUCUUCACAGCAUCAGCUGAGAUAGAUCUUGUGGAUGUGUUAAUAAAUGGAUGGUUCUUGAAUAUGUUUGACUCAGCUUGAUCAAGAACUCUAUAAGCUGAAUUAUGAAUUUGACAACACUUUUCAAAGUAACAAGGUUUUUCUGCAACAAGAUUGUUGAUCAUAACACAACUUUGUCUCUGAUAAACAUGUCUCAAUUGGCGUAGAGAACGAACACUGAUUCUCAUCUUCAACAAAACAACCCAACAAAUUUUUUUCAGGAAUCCCUGGAAUAAAAAACAAACAUUUAUUUAUCUAUUAUGAAUCAGAAAAACAUGUUACAAACAAAAGAACCAAAAAUUAAAUAAUAAAAAAACUUAUCUUUGAGUUCAACUUAAUUCAAUAACGAAUACAGAAUUUAAUAAAAAGAUUCUGAAAAAAAAAACAGAUUGAAUCGCCAUUUUCAAAUCCCAAUUCAUUCCGGUAUGUUAGGAAGAUUGCUGAAAAAACAAUGAAAGAAAUAGACAAAAAGAAACAUUGAAAGAAGAAUAAAAACAAUAAAAAAACGAACCUGGAAUGAAUAAUGAAAAGAUAAGAACAGGAAUUAAGAAGAGAGUCCCAGGAAUGAGGGAAUGAAAAGGUGAGUUUUUUGGGAGUGAACAGAGAGAAGAGAUUUUUGCAUGUAUUGUAAUUGGAACAUAACACAACAGAUUGAUCUACGAGAAAGAGAAAACGUAAUUUAUUAUUAUUGUGUCAUGUUAUGUUUGUUUUGGGGUUUGAUGUUUUUUUGAGUUGGACAUUUGACUCGGAAAAUCACACGUUUGCUUCCACGUUACAAUUACAAAGAGUAUAGACAUCCACUCCAGAUGCUGAGUGAUGAUGCUAAUAGUAAUAACAUUGGUUAUGCCAAAAAUAUUUAUUUCUCUCAAAAAAAAAAUAUAUAUAUAUAUAAAUUUAUUUUGCAUUUUUCACAAGAAUUAUUUGUAUAGUAAUAACUAGCAAGAAAGACAGACACUAUCGUGUCCGUCUGUCAACUCUUUCUAUUGCGCUAACGCAUAUGAUUAUUAUGUUUGUUUGUAUAAUUUUAAUUAAAUUUUAAAAUAUUAAUGAAAAUUAUUGAUAUAUUAAUUUAUAAACAAAAUAUUAUCAAGGCAUAUAAAAAAAUUAUUUAUGAACUCAACAUAUUUUAGUUUACCUGCAUGUAAAAUAAAGAUAAAAUAAUGAUAUUUUAUUGUUUAUUCUAAUAGUAAUUAGUAACAUCAUAAUAUAAAUGUAUAAAUGACAUGUUAGGUAAAAGAAACAUUGUUUUAAACAAAAUAAUAAUUUAUUUAAGAAUUAAAAAAAAAACAUAGUUCUCUUUAUAUAUAUAUAAAAAAAAAAAAAAAACCACGCUAUUAUAGUAUAAGCAAUUAUAAAUCAACAAAGUCAAAUAAUCCUUCAAAUUAAUCGUAAACAAUUUGAAUCAUAAUCAUUUAUAAACCAGUAAAGUCAAAUAAUCCAUAAAAUUAAUCGACUUUGAUUAGUUGUAACAUGAAAGAAAAAGAAAAAAACUUACAGGUUAGUUCUGAAUUCUGAUCCAAGGGUUGAGAGAGGUUGAGAAAAACUAAACAAUGUGGAAACGAAUUAUGAGAACCCUACUUAUUAAUAUUUAAUAUAUAAUAUAGUGCUAACAAAUUUUUUCUAAAAUAUUUUGAGUCCUAAUCUUUUUGUUAGAUGAUUUAAAGUCUAAUCUUUAACAAUAUUUUUUGCUCACGUUUGUUACUAAUAUUUUUUUAUAGGAUUUAAAAUCCGAUUUUAACAUUAUUUUUUGCUCACGUUUGUUGCUAAGCUUUUUUUAGAGAAUUUAAAGUUCAAUUUUAACAUAAUUUUUUGCUCACGUUUGUUACUAAUAUUUUUUUAAGAUGAUUUAAAGUCCAAUUUUAACAUAAUUUUUUUGCUCACGUUUGUUACUAAGCUUUUUUUAGAGGAUUUAAAGUUCAAUCUUUAACAUAAUUUUUUGCUCACGUUUCUAAUCUUUUUUUUAGAGGAUUUAAAGUCCAAUCUUUACCACUAUUUUUUGCUCACGUUUGUUACAAUUGAUCAAAGGCUAAGAAAGAGAAACUUAUAUUAAUAAAAUAAAAUAAUAUUAUUAAUAAAAUAAAAUGAUAUGAAAAUACUGUUUUUUGUGUAAGGGAUAUGAAAAUACUUGACAAUCUUUAUCGGUUGUAUUGAGGGAAACACAAAUGUACAAACAUUUUUUUUUAGGGAAACACAUAUAGAGCAUAAAAGUGGGUGAUAAAAUAGGAACAUGAGUUUUUGUUUUGUGCUAGUUUUUUGUGAGUUUGAUAUGUUGUUACGGAGGUAAAAGAGGGUUAACGGGAUGAUUAGUGACAUGGAUUAGUAAUCCACGUGUUAUUUUAUAAUUGGCUAACAUUAAGAACAUUUCAUAAGAAACUGUGUGUAAGUUUUCUCCUUAAAUUAAAUUAUUGUUAUAUAUUUGUUACAUGUGUUAUUUGUAUUUAAAAUUAAAAUUUAAAAUUAAGGGUAUUUUUGGAAAGAAAAGUUCAAUCCAAAAAAUACGUUGAAAGAGGUAAUUUUCUUUAUAUAUAGUAUAAAUAUAUACAAUACAAUUAUUCGUAUAAUAUUUUUUUUAAACUCAAUAUCUGAUUAAAAACCGAGUAAUCUUAAAGAUUCAUUCUCACCGACCAUCUGCAAAGAUCACAUUUAAAACUAGAACUAUGACAUAACUCCAUAUAAAUUUAGACCAUAAAGAAUCGAAUCUUCUCUAAAAAAAAAAAAAAAAAAAUCGAAUAUGAAAUUUAAAAAAAAAAAACAUACUUUAAAGCUUUUUUUUAUCUGUUUAAUACACAUAUAUACAUAGAGAGACACUAUCCUGUUAAAUGUUACAAAACCAUUUUAAUUUUUUAUAAUUUUUAGUUUCAUUGCUAGACAAUCCAAUCUGAUUUUUUUUACACAGAUGUCCAAAUAUAUCUCACUAUAUCUAGACAUCUACAUGUACAUUAAAAUAUUUGUUUCAAACUCUUCUACACUGAAUAAAUUAUUUUAUUUUUUAAACUUUUAAUUGAUUGUGUUGUAUACACUGAAUUGAGGAUGGAUAUAAUGAAUAGUAAAGUUCAUCAAACUUUUGUAUAUUUGGAAUGAGAAAUAAUAUUUGAACAACUAUUUUUAACAAUUUCGGUGACAACUCUCUCAUACUUUAAUUGUACUUUAUUCUCUCUGUUUCUUUUUCUCUCCCUAUUGCUAUUGUCCAAUAAAAAUGGAAGAAAAAGGCUCUCACCCAAAAUUGUCUAAAAUUGGUUGUCAAAAUAUCAUUCCUCAUUUGGAAUAUGUGAUCACAUGUUCUUGUUUUACAAAGCUUCUUUUACGGUGCAUUCAUAUUUUUUCUCUAUUCCCUAAUCCAUUCCUGAAUCAAUUCUACAUGUGAGACACAAAACCGGUCAAAAUCAACUUUUUUUUUAUAAAAAUAAAACGAUAUCACAUGUUUAAUCAAUUAUAUAUUUAAUCAAUUACUUGACCAUCAAAAUCAAUUCUACAUGUGAUAUACACAUGUUUCAGAAUCUGCAACGUUGACGAUCAAGUAAUUGAUUAAAUAUGUAAUUGAUUGACCAACCAACAACCUUUGAAAGACAGAAGGUAAUAAAACCCCAAACAUCACCAUUAUCUCUCCCAGUCACCUUCAUCCAAAAACACACCUCCCAAAAUACCUAAACACCUCCACCAAAGCAUACCUACAUGUAUAUUAAAACUGUUGUGAAUUCGGACUCAAAAUCACACCAAUACAAACGAUGAUGUAUGGAGCAAAGGAAAGUAGUAACCAGUAUCAAAGUGAACACAAGCAAUAAUCAGCAAUAACAUCACCUAGAUCUAAUCUAAGAAUCAAAGUGAAAAGCACAAAUCCACAAGCAAAAUAUAAAGGAGAGAAGAGAGGAACAAACACACCAAAAAUUGUUGACCCAGUUCGUCCAACUUGACCUAAUCUGGGGGAGAGAAUGAUCUCUCUAAUUCACUAUCAAUGAGUUCUUACAAAGAGAUACAAAUGGGUUACAAGAAAUUAGCUUCAACAAGUUCACAAAGAACAACCCUAAUUUCUACCCAUUUUCCCAAUCUCACCAAUGAACAAGACACUCAAUGAUUUUCACUCACCCAAUGUGUUUACAAUGUUUCCCAACCCAAGAGAACUCUAAUCAAAGACCCUCAACCCUAAAGUUACCUCCUUUGAUUUCCUAAGUUUCUCUCUCUUUCAGCUCUUCUUCAAAAACUACAAAGAACACUUAUAUAGCAGUCUUCAGCUAUCAAAAUCGUGUCACAUUUUCCCAAAUCGUGACUAGUUUGGUGCGUACGACCCAAGGUACGACCAACCUUAUCUUGAAAACUUGCCCAGCAAGCCGAAAAUCGUGUCACGAUUGGACACCCUGCAAAACAGCUCUCGACAUUACCAAAAUCGUGACACGCCUAUGAAAUCGUGUCACGAUUUCUCUAUUUUUCAACUUCAUAAUUUGAAGUCAUAAACAAUAAAAACCCUUAUAAUAACACACGUUACUCUUCCCAUACCUGAAUCCAAUCAAACGACUACGAAACCAAUAAAAAAACAGCCCGAACAGUUUAGAUGUCUUACACUUAAGACCAAACAAUCUAUAAACUAAAACUAACAUCAACCACCACAAAACAAUCAAUAGAAGCCACUGAACGACAACUUGAGAGUGACGAAACCACAAAAACUCAGAAUCACAAAUCAAAGAUAAACCAAACAAAACCAUCACCACACACAGUGUCGUUUAAGAGAAUCAGCAACAAACAAACCUAGAUUGAAAAAACAACCACCACCUUUGCCACAACAACAAAAACAAUCGAUGUCAUCUUAACGAAAUUCACCUUCGCAACAACAAAAUCCACCUUCACAACAACAACACCAUAUAUCGAUCCACAAUGACAAUAACAAACAAACCCUUUCGAAUUUUUGAAACCGUCAAAAACACCGCCCACCGUCAAAACAAAACACAACCGGCGAGCAACAGCACACAAUGGUGACACAUCGACAACAAAGCAUCCACAAGCACAAUAGUCACAAACACAAAAACACUACCCACGAACACCAGAAACCAACACCACCGUGAAGGAUCGGAACCGGAGAAAAACCCCCAAUCACCACAAGUACGGCAGAUCAACUAACCAUACCCCUGACGACGGCAAAAUCAAGGUGACGAGGAGGGCUGAUGAAACAUAGAACAACUCUGAACCAAGACAAAGAGAACGAAAACAACUGCGUCGACGGUUUGGAGAACAGCCCGUUAAGGUUGAAUGGUAAUGCGGAGAUUAAAGAACUCGUCGCAUCACCACUGUUAGUGUCUACGUCGAACUGUUUGGAUUUGGAGGAUGAGAAAGGGAGGAGUGGCUAAUUGUGUGGUUGUUUAUGGAGGUGAAGAAGUUUUGCAGGAGAGAGAAGGGAGGAGCAGCGCGGCUAUUCAAUUCCCAACCCCCUCCAAAGAAUAUGAUGCAUGAUUUAUCUAAGUGAAAAUUUUGACGUUAAAUAAAUACACUAUGAUCAAAUACAUUUUGACAAAUAAAUUAAAAAUAGCUCUUGUAAUAGUGUAAAUACUUUAUUUCUAUUAUAGUGUAGUCGUUUUUUUUUAAUUGGAUUUAAUAUUUCUUGGUUAAUAAUUUAAAUAAUAAAAUACAAGGGAUAAAACUGCAAUUAUAAUAAUCUAAAAGAAGGAUAGAAUUGUAAGUGACAAAACUAAUGUAUCACAUAUAUAGGUACAUGAAUUAUUCUUUUGAACCAUAUAGGUAUAGGUGGUAUAUAUAUAAUGCGUGGAUAACGUGAUUUAUAAAGAAUGACAAAUGCGCAAUCCUAUUAAGACAAGCAAAAGCAAAUGUUGGAGAUGGUGGUUUCAUUCCAACCUUAAAAGUCCACCCAUGUAUAAUGAGUUGGAAUCAUGGUUAUAUUCUCCCCGAUUCCUGACCUAAUUAAACAUCCUAAUCGUCAUGUUAUUGGACUAUUUUAUUGUUGUCGUUUCAUUUGGAUUAUGGUCAUGCUUGAAUUUUUUAAUGUUUGGUCGUUAGUUAGUUUUGGAUCUGAAUUUUUAAUGUAAAAUGUGUGCAUUACCAACAAGUAAUUAAUAAACUAGAUACUCCCCCCGGCUAAAAAUAAUUGUCUAUUUAAUAUUUUUUCUUAAAAUAAUUGUCCAUUUAGAAUACAUAACACAACAUUUAUUAUUUUUUCUACUGUUAUAUUCUUAUUUAUUGAAUUUCAUCCCACUCAAUUACUUCACUAAUUACAAUUAAUAAAAAUAAUAUUUUAAUAAAUGAUAUUAAUUUUACCAUUAAAAUCGACUAUUUCUUGACUGGUGCUAGUCACACCCCAAAAAAAACUAGUUACACCCAAAUUUAUUUAAAAUUUUACAAUAAUACCAAAAUUGUCCUCUUCAUGUAAAUUUUUAAAAACCCAUCUUUUAUGAUCAUUCUGAACCCUUACCCCCUUUCAUCCACAAAUCACCAUAGAUUUGCAACCAAUAUCUGAAUCAACAUAUUUAUUAUUGAUCUGUACUAUAUUCAUAAAGAUUAAUGAAUUUCAUGAAUUUCAUUUUCAAUGAGUUUCUAUUUGUUUAUUGUUUGUUUUGGUAUGAGAUAUGUUCAAUUUAGAUUAGUGUAAAUUAAGUUUACUUAUGUUCAAUUUAGGUUAAUGUAAAUUUAGUUUACUUAUGUCAAUGUAAAUUAAGUUUACUUAUUAUGUGGUUAAUGUAAAUUUAGUUAACUUUACGUUCAAUCUAGGUUAGUGUAGAUUCAGUUUACAUGUAUAUAAGAGGUUAGUGUAAACUCAGUUUACUCAAUCUAGGUUAAUGUAAAUUCAGUUUACUUAUGUUCAAUUUAGGUUAAUGUAAAUUCAGUUUACUUAUGUUCAAUUUAGGUUAAUGUAAAUUUAGUUUACUUAUGUCAAUGUAAAUUAAGUUUAUUUAUGUUAAAUUUAGGUUAAUGUAAAUUUAGUUUACUUAUGUUCAAUCUAGGUUAAUGUAAAUUUAGUUUACUUACGUUCAAUCUAGAUAUAAGAGGUUAGUGUAAAUUCAGUUUACUCAAUCUAGGUUAAUGUAAAUUAAGUUUACUUAUGUUCAGUUAAUGUAAAUUCAGUUUACUUAUUCAAUUUAGGUUAAUGUAAAUUUAGUUUACUUAUGUUCAAUGUAAAUUAAGUUUACUUAUGUUCAAUUUAGGUUAAUGUAAAUUUAGUUUACUUAUGCUCAACUUAGGGGUUUAUUAGUCAUUCUGGGGUGUAACUUGUUUUUUUUGGGUGUGACUAGCACCAGUCCUAUUUCUUCUUUGAAUUAUCUUUUCAUAACAUUUGUUAAGGACGAUUUUAUAAAACAACGGAUAAUAUAAUACAAAAUAAUUUUCUCAUUUUACUCCGUAAUUUUAAAAUGAAUUGGGCUUAGCUAAGAUUUGUUGGGCUGAAAAUACUGAACGAAUUGAGCCCAUCGUGAAUGUUCCGGUGUAGCACGAAUCAGAAUCAGAUUCAGAAGAAGAAGCAUAGCAAUUAGCAGCGAUUUCAUCGCCACCGGUAACGUUGUUUGGUGAGAGAAAUGGCGAAUCAAGGUGCUAAGAAACGCAAAGAAGAGAACUCUCGUCACAUCACCAAGCUCCGCCACAUCAUCAUCGCCUGCAAUGUACUCUUUCUCUCUCUGAUUUCGAUUUCAAUUUCAAUUUCAUUUCACUUUGCUUGGAUUUUUUUAGUUAUGAUUAGUUUUUUUCCUUUUCUUUUCUAGAAAUGAAUAGUAAUUGAUAAAUUCUACUGGUUAUUGAUACUGAAAAUAUGGAUGCAUGUGAAUACAAUUAAUUUACUGUUGUUCAAAUUAAGCUAUUGCUUUUUGAUUCUGAUUACCUGAUUUAUUAUUGAACAGGUUAUUUAUUUAAUAAUUAGGAUGUUAAUCUUCCAUUCAAGCUUCACCUGGAAGCAUUGGAUUGGCUUGGUUUUGACUUCUCUAGCUUAUUAUUUUCCUUACCAACAACUUGCUAAGAUGGCAAAACCUAGUUAUACACAAGACGGUGAGCUCUUAGAUGGUGGUUUUGAUAUGACUACUGGUGGAGUUUGCGGGUACGACUCUGUCUUGUCUUGUCUUCUGGUUUUUGUAAAGAUCUCCAUAAGCACUUAUGGAAAAUGAGAUUUUAAUAGAUAUCACAAUAACUGAGUUGUUUAAAUGAUAGCUUCUUAUACAAGUUAAAAGUAUUUUAUUAAUCUCAUUUUUUUCCGUAAAUUCACCCGUUUAACUCAUCCCUUUAGACCUAUAAGCUUAUACGGACUUUUUCAUGGGUCUCCAUAAACUUAUUUUAACAGGGAAACUCCUGUUAGUUAGAAGCUAAUCCAAAUUGUGCCUUUUGCAAUCAUUGUAUGUGUACAAAAUGUGCAUCAUGAUUUAGAAAAUUAUGAUGUAUUCGUGCCUAUGGUUUUUUGACUUAAUCUUUUGUAGUUUUUCUUUCGGGGAAUUUUUGUAAAUAACAUGGUACUCGGUGUUGAAUGUUUUUGAAGCUCUUAAAUUUGUAUGACCUGUACUAUAUUUUACUGAAACUAAAAUGAAAAUAAAUAAAAUUAGCAAUUUCUGUCAUCAUGCAUAAAUGGUUGACAGAUAUAACUGUUGAACAAAAGUGUUGUGUAUAUAUUGUAGGCUGUAGCCUAUGGAAUUUGGUCCCGGGAUGAAUCUAAAACUUGUUCAUAGUGAGAUAAUCCUAUAGGUCUAGGGAACUCUUAUUUGAAACCAAAUUAUAUAGAUAAAAAUGAAGUUCAGAUAUAUUGAAUGUUUUGCUAUCUUCUGAUUGUAUGAUAAUUCUUCACUUAUUGUUGGUCAUAUUUUGCAGCUAUUUACAUGAUGUUAUCUACAUAACAUGCUUUGUGCAAGUUGCUUCCAUCAUCUCUGGAAAGUUCUGGUACAUAUAUCUUGUGGUAAGUUCCAAUUUGCUUCUAGAUAAGCUUUUGGAUGGUUGUAUUGGCACAAAAAUGUGGUUUACUUUUAGAAUGUAGGACUGUAAUUGUUAAUGCUGUAGUCACACUCCGACUCUGUGUUGCACGGGUGCGGGUACGGGUACGGGAUACGUCAUUUCUCAAAAAACAAAGGUACGGGUACGCAAGGAUAAAUAAAAAAUUUAAUAUAAAAUAACAUAGCAUGAGGAAAUUAUAUUGCUCAACCGGCGGAUUCAAACAUGUAGUUCCAGUAGGAAAAGGAACUUGUACUGGAUUUGCUUUUUCCUUAGCAAUUCUGUCAAGUUCUUUCAUCUCGGCAAGAUAUUCAUUCGUCACUUUUGAACAAAUAGCUAUCCCUUGUUCUUUUCUCGGAGCAAAUGACAUCUUAUUCUAAAAUAAGAACCCUUGUAUAUAUAUUGCGAUAGUUGCAGUUCCAGGUUUGCAUUAUUUCCUUUUCCUUCACAUUUAAUUUUGAAAUGAAAAACCUUAUUUUCUCAAGAAAAAAAUGGUUAUGCGUACCCUGAGAGUACCACCGCCGUACCGUAACCGUACCAAGGUUUAAAAAAAAAAUUGGUACAUCAUGGGUGCGUACAGUACCAGUACCCAUGGAGUACCCGUACUCCCGGUACGGGUACGUUUUGCAAAUUGGAGUACCCGUGCUUCAGAGCUCCGACUGGUGCCACUUCAAAGAAUGUAGUCUUAGCUACAAAGUUCUAUUAUCUACAAGGUUUGGCAGUGUGUGAGUGUAUGCACAUUUGUUCUGUUGUGAAAAUAAUUAUUCGCCAAAAAGAGGAGGUUAUCUAGGGCUUCGUUUGCGAGUUUGGAGGGGAAGGGAGGGCUUUGGAAGGAAAAAAAAAGGAAGGAGCAAGUGGAAGAAAUAGAGGACUUUGAGAGGGGAGGGCUUUGGGGGGGGGUUCAUUUUUCUUCAUAAAACAAAAUCCUCCUCAUUUGGGGGAACUCAAAAAUUGUAUAGGAGGACGAUUUUUGAGGGUUCUGGGGGGUUUAUAUGAAUUCUUCAAAUUCUCUUUCAAAAAAAAAAAUGAAUUCUUCAAAUUUAAUCUAUGUUAAAAUAUCCUUAAAAUUUAAAAUGUAUUAAUCAUACACAGUAGUUUAUCAUUCUCUAAAAAGAUACUCUUUCAAAAAAUAUGAAACAUUUCUCUAUUUUCCAACCUCCCAAAGCUCACCCCUUCCCAUACUCCCAAACAAGCCUAAACGUUAUUAGAUUUACUUAUUAGUGUAUGUCUGAAAGAUAGUACAUAUUGCAAACUUUUAUGUGCCAGAAAGCAACCAACUUGAAGGAAAAGGGAUUGUAUUGCUAAACAGAAGGAGGCGCACAAAACAUUGUGUGCUUUAUCAUUUAACUCCUAGUGACUUCUCUCACACUGGCAUAGUAGUUGUUUAUAUAUGAAUUAUAUCAGGUGCUGUGCAAUCAACUGUGGUUGGGGGCUGUUUGAAUUAUGGCUUAUAUUUUUCUUUUUUGCUCCUAAAAUAUAUAUUUACUAGUUGAAGUUAAAGUUUUAAUCAAUACUCGGACAUAUAUGAAAUGGUAAAACCCUUUAUUAAUCAUUAAGCGAGAUUGCAACGACCUUCACUGACACGGUUGCUCCCUUGAUGGCAUGUCAGAUACCAGCAUUUGGAGCAUACCAAUCCUUUGGCUUGAUUAAAGGAUUUUUGCCUCAAGGUUCAGAGGUAUGGUCACCGUCUUGAUAAAUUUUCAUUUUCAGGCCACAGAAAGGUUCAUAGUAACUUCAAUUGAGUAUGCAUUUUGUGAUUAGGAAUCGGUUGAAGAUGAAAAGACUCGCAAGAAAAGGGAAAAGAUGGAAAAGAAGGCAUCCAGACCUAAGUUUGUCAAGACACGAACCAGAUAGUUUGCUGGAAUGGAAGCCCAGAUGCACAAUAUCACCCAAUUAUCCAAGAUUGAUGGAGGGUUUUACUGUAACUUAAAGUUAUUACAAGUUUCAUUUUAGCCUGAGUUAGUUUUUCAUGUGCAACAAUUUCCUUUUCUUAUGCCCCUCUAUUUAGGGAAAGAAAACAAGAACAUGUAUCCUUUACACAAUUUAUAAAAGUUCUUGUAAGGACUAACCUCUAUGGGAUACUUGGAUUAAGAGUUGUCCAGUCUGUAAAGAUGCAUUGCAUCAAAUUACUCGAAACAUUUCAAGAGUUAAUGUCGUGGAAUUGUGUAAAUGGAUAUAACCUCGGCAUUCUAAAUCUUACAUGUGUGUUUUUAGAGUGUUUAGUUUGUUCAUCUGAAUAUUCAAUGCACCUUUCCAAAAGCUGUCUCGAAAACAGGGCAAAGAAUAAGAUGUGCAAGGAAUACAUUCGCCUGCUCCUAAGGGGGUGUUUGUUUCCAGGUUAUAAAAUUUAUUCCUAGGAAUAUGAGGAUGGGAAUGCACUUUCCCAUGUUUGGUAGAAGGUAAAAGAAAAAUAUACCUGGGAACAAAUUAUACCCAGGAAAAUUUUUAACCCAUGAUCUCCCUAUUUUUAUUCCCAUGAAAAAGGAGUUGGAAUGUUUUAUUCCUAGGAAUGACAUUUGCCUUGCUACAUGAAAACCCCACUACCACCAUGUUUUUUCAACUGCCAAUUAAUUUCUAUUUUUUUCUUUUACAUGCUCUACAUCAAGACAUUGUUAUAAUGUAUGUUAUUAUAUGUAAUUCAUCUAUUAUUUCUUUAUGUUCUUUUUGGUUUGUGCAAAAAAAUAUUUAUGUGUCUAUUAAAGUUUUCAACAAUAUUGUUCUAUUAUAUCAAUCAACUAUAUUUUAUCAAUCAACUAUAUGAAAACAUAAUUUUAUUUCAUGGUGUAUUUUCAAAUGCUUCAAGUUAUAAUGAAAAUAAAAUGUAGUAAAAUAAAUUCAAAUUGAUUUAGAAACAAGGUAGAGGUAUUUUUGUAACUGUAUCAUGUUUUUUCUAGGAAUAUAUAUUAUAAACUAAACAACAAUUAGCUAUUUAUGGGAACAUUUUUUGAAAAUAUUCCUGAAAAAUUAAAAUACUAACCAAACACUUUUUUUUAAAAUACCCAGGAAUAAACUUUCCACUACUUUAUUCCCAGGUAAGUUAUUCCUGGGAUUAAUUUAUGAAUCCCUGAAACAAACGCCCCCUAAAUUAUAUAUCGAGUUAAAUAAAUUCUUCAGAUCAUCAAAAUGUCUCUCGAUUGAGAUCUUCAUUAUAUAUCCUUGCUUCUUGUUGGACUGAUCAUGGUCAAAUUCAAUACCCCUUUGCUUCAUAACCUUUGUGAUGAUCUUUGCUAACAAACUCAAUUAGACAAAUCACAUUCAUGGAGGAAUUAUGCUCUUUAUCCAAAUGGUUUUGCUCAUUCCCAAAGUAAAUGAUCAAAAUACCCCUACUCAAGUUAACUUACGUUAGUGUUGAAUUUACGUGACUUAACUCGGUUUUAAACAUUUCAAAAGCUUUUUGCACUGUUUUAUUUCUCUUUCUACUUAUAUCGUGGGUAGUUGCUCAAAAGCUUAUUGCACUUUGUUUUGUUUCUCUUUCUAGUGAUAUCAUGGGUAGUUGCUAACAUUCUGUCUAGGCUAAAAUAUGACGAUGGGUAGUUGCUAACAUUCUGUCUAGGCUAAAAUAGUCCCUGCAAAUAUGCCUCAUUUUGGUUUUAGUCCCUGUAAAAAAAAAUUGUUGUUUUUGGUCUCUGCAAAAUAUUUUGAUUUUGAAAAUAGUUCCUGCAGGGACUAUUUUCAAAAACAAAAUAUUUUGCAAGGACCUUUUUGAAAAUGAAAAGAUUUUGCAGGACAAUUUCUCUAAUAAAUGGGUUCAGUCAUCAUGUGCCACGUGUGCAAAUCAUCACAAAAGUGGAGCCAGGGACCAAAACCAAAAUGAGGCAUAUUUGCAGGGACCAUAAACAAAAAAAAAAAAUUACAGAGACUAAAACCAAAACGAGACAUAUUUGCAGGGACCAAAACCAUAUUUUAACCUUCUUUUUAAAUCAGAGAGGUGGCCCGUAUGCAUCCUCAUUCAUUUUCUUAUAAUGGAUUGUCUAAAUCACAUGACGUGGCCCACAUGCAUCCCCAUUCAUUGUCAUAGAUUUUGAAAUGUUUAAAACUAACGUGAGUUAACUUGCAUUACGUGAGUUAAUUUCCGCUAGUGUAAAUUUUUGUAUGAGUUAAUUUUUACAUCAGCAUGAGUUAACUCAUGCAGUGCAAGUUAACUUACGCAGGGAUAAUAUGAACAUUUACUUUGGGAAUGAACAUAACCGUUUAGAUAAAGAGCAGAAUUCUACAUGGAGCAACAUCUCACCCCCUCAACUUCUAAAAAUCUUCAGAUAUUUUUGGUAGCAUAUUCCAAAAACCAAAAUGGAUACAUACGAGACAAUGGGUCUUUACCAAAGGACCUAAUACGAUUUGAUUCGUUGGAAUUAAGAGGAUCGAUUCAUUUUGUACUCUAUUUAGAUUUAAAAUUUGAUUAUAAAUUCAGUACUUCAAAUUUGAAAAAAAAUUGUGAUAUCAAAUUCCUUCUUAUCUUUUUGACUAAAUAAAAUUCCUUCUUAUCAUUUAUUCUAAGCUUGAUAAUUACAUUACUAUAUCAUUUGCCAAAACCGUGUAGCAAUGAGUAGGUAAUUGCAUUUUUUAAGAUGAGAAAUCGUAAGCGUAUAUACUGUAACUAAUUUGGGUUGUGCAAGAAAUUUAACCAUUCAUGCAUAUUAAUUUAAUUAAUAUUUUACUCGGUUAUCAGCAAAUUUGAACAUAAGAAGUCAAUUAUUGGUUAGUAAGCUAUUGGUUUAAUCAGUUCAUUGUACUGUUAAAUUCCUUACAAGAUCUACAUAAGACAUAUUUUCGAUGUAAUGACUAGUUCUGUCACUCCCGUGACAUUCUGGGAGAGUAAUUUGAAACAAUUUUACAUUGUUACCUUUCUAUACAUAUCCAUCCAUAGGAAAUUUAGGAUCAUGAUUUCCUCCACAUAACACAUUCAUGCCAGAAGCAGCUAUGGCUUUGGAGUGAAUUUGGACAUUUCCCUGAGUAGGCACUUGAUGUUGGCAGGCAAUGGUUGCUCUGGAAAGUUUCACCACGUGUAGCAUGUAAUUUGCCAAGCUUUGUAGUUAUAGACGGGGCAGUAAAAAUAACUAUUUUGCUGCUCAUGGAACUUUAUCCAAGGUCACAGUCAAGAGAUUGGUUUCACGCUCUAAAGACCAAGACAAUUUCUGAUGAGCAUCAAUGCUCAAGUUAUAUUCUUGAAAGUAGCCAUUGUAAGUUAUCACACACAUGUUGGCCCUGGAAAAUUGAAACACAUAAACUUUUAGAAAACAAAUCGACAUCAGAUAUUUAAUGAAACAUUGGGAGAAAGGACAUGAUUUAUUGAAACAAGUAGGUAUCACCAUAUGGAGCUAGUCAUAGACCUUUGUACUUUAUAACCCAAAAAGAAGUACCACACUUCAAUAAGCAUAUCUUGAGACCUUCUACUUCUCUGGUUACAACUUACACCUAUUUAGAUAAUUCUAAACUUCAGUGCUGUACAUUUAUAUAUUGGGAAAAACCCAAGUCCCACAUCGGAUAGACAAGACUCUUGAGAAGAGUAUAUAAAGAGGAGGUAAUUCUCAAAUUACAAGCCGGUUUUGUAAGGAUGAGUUAGGCCCCAAAUUACAACAAUAUAUAGCCACUUAUUGUUGGUUGGAUUAAGGGUUUUCCAUUUAACCAUAACAACCUAAAAACCGUAACAUUGUGAGACAUGCACACACGUCAAUUUUUAGGGAAACCAGAACAAACAGUUUAAGUGGAAAACUGAAAUACACGGCCAGACGAAAUUAGAUACAAUAACUUGGACCAAUCACUAUUGGUAUACAACCACAGGGAGGUGACAUUUUUUAUUAAAUUAAAAAAAAACAUGCAAUGCACAAGAAAGCAUUGAUUUGUUGACUACAUGUGCCGCACAAAGGCAACAAUGAAACCUUACAAUAUUACUAUCACACUAUGAAACUGAUAUCAACAGACAGGAAAUUCCAAAACCCAACCAAUAAGCAAUAGCCAAUAAGAAAGAUUCUGGGAACGGAGAGCCACUUAUAGUACAAUCACUUAUGUUCAACACAUCACAUUUCAUGUUCAUAAAUCUCCUACAUGCAUCAUCACAUAUUUGCCUUGGUUGCUAAAUUGAUUGUCAACAUUUAUGGGCCGAGCAAUGUUAGAAUUUGAAAAAUGCAUGCAGCACAUAAAAUAAUCAUAUUUCCGUAUCUAAAAUGCAAAACCAAAGAGGUCAUAUAAAGUGGUGCAGUAAACCAUAGUUCCACGUGAAAGAGAAACUUAUUCAUUCAGAAGAAGCCAUGCAAUAUGCAAGAUUUCAUUUUUAGUCUGUUAGCAGUAAGCCAGUAACUAGUAACUACCGACAAAAGCCAAAAUCAAAUAAAGAUUUGCUAAAUGGUGGCCAAUAAUGAGGCACUCACCUACAAGCUAAAAGUUCAGAUGAUGAGGUGUCAGUAACAUUUUCAACCUUGCGAAUUACUGCAGAGCUGUAUGAUAAACAGAAGAUGUUAUAAAAUAAGUGUACAUAAAUACUAUUCUUACUACUAUAUAAUCAGAAAUCCUUGUUUGGCUGACACAAUAAAUCCCCAAAAAGAUAACGCGAUAAAUCUUGAUUAUAAAAGCAAGGAUCAUAUCCGUAUAAGAUAGUUCCAAUGUCUAGAAAGGCCCAUAUAAAAUAUCUUCCCAAGACAUGAAUCCAGCAACAUAAAAAUACUUAACCUUUUGACUCCUGCAGGAACAGCAUUAUGAAGCACAUGAUGAUAAGCUGGAUCCAGCACAUCAUUCACUGCAUCAGGAAUUAUCGAUCCAAGAAAACCGCUUGAUCUCUUGCUCCUAGUAAAAUCAUCAAACAUAAACAGGACAUCUUUCCAAAUCCAUUUCAGAGGAAGAAAAUAAAAACUUUUGAAAGUAAUCAAAGCUUCCCCAAAUUAUAUGGACAGAUAAAACCAGUUAUACAAAGGGUUGUGUACAUCUGAACGUGCAAUAACUAGUAUGUCAUCCACUUCUUUAAGUAUGCAAGAAGGAAAUAUUCAAUUCAGAGUGGCAUUUCUUAUUUGGCCCUUAAUAGAUAGCUGUCCCCCAAUAUUGAAAACAUUAAGUUAAUUUUUUUCACUAUUUGGCUUUUUCAGUGCUAUUUACAAGUCCAUUUGAGUAUUUGACCAAGCCAAACACAGUAUUUGACCAAGUCCAUUUAAUUGUUUUACAUUUAAAUUUAAAUCAGGCUAGCUCAACUUUUAAUGAGGUGAAACAAUCCAAACCUAUGUGACAUGUUGACUGGUGUACAUCAAUAAAGUAGUCUAACACUUGGGAAAGUUGGCGAGGCGAGAAGAUUUUAAAUUGAAUUCUCACCGUGGAUGUGAAGCAAAUCCAAGAGUGAAAAGAUGAAUAGAACCAGAAGAACUAGUGGCUGCAAGAAUAUCUGGAAGCUGCUUUGAUGGCCCAAAGGACAGAGAAAAUAUGGUAGAUGAAUAUGAACCCCUUCGGAAGCUAUAUGACUGCAAUAAAAACAUUUGUCAGAUUCUACACCUGAAGUAAAAUUGCAACAGAUAUAAUAUCAAAAGCAUAAACAACUGUGAAUGUCUCAUCCAUGAAUGACCUUGAAGCCAAAGAAUGGAAACCAAAAAAACGAGCAUUAUAAAUCAAGAAAGUAUUGUCCCAUAUAAGCUCAAGGUCAAUACUAUUAGUAAAGGGCCUCUAAGUGCGUUUGCUAUGACUUCAAUUUAAAGCGACUUCUAAAGGAUUGCACCCAUAUUUGAUUCAAUAGAAAAUUCUAACCAAGAUCAUAUUGUUUGCAGCAUCAAAGAGAGAGAAAACACAGGAAGACACAAGCAGUAAUGGCUAAUAAUACCACUAAUAUCUCUUAUCAGUAUUAAAUGCAUAAAUUCAUCACCUUUGUUGCAUCUGAUACCAAAUGAACUCUGACCAAGGUUCCUUGCUCGGAUGCUGUAGCUAUAUACAUUCCGUUAGAAGAAAAGACCAUUGCAGCCAGUGGUGAACGAUGAGCCUCGAUCUGUAUCUCAGAUUCAAUAAUAAUGACCAUCAGUUUUUUUUUAGAAGACAAGUAAACAAAACAGUGUCAAUUAUAUCCUUAAAAUGAAAAUAUCAAUUGUCAUAAAAUAAUGGAAUAAGUCAAUUAUUCGUGUGUACUUCAAACCAAACCUUUUUCCUACUAUGCUCCCAAAAUAAAGAAAUCUCACACAAAGCAAUUAACGCAUACAGUUUAUGUAACUGAUUAAAUAUGUUAGUUCUUGAAAUUCCAAAGAAGAAAAGAGAUUUUUUAUUCAACUAAACAAGAAAUGCCGAAUCAAGAAGGCAGGGAUGAAAAGAGUAACAGCAAAAGAUGUAAAAACAUGAACAUUUAUAUUUUCAAGGUUUUCAUCAUCUCAUUUACUAUUUGUAGUUACCAGACAGUGAAGGUACAAUAGCAAUGGAAUUCAUGAAUAAUAAAGUGACAAAGCCAUUUUAUCUUAUUAUGCAAAUAAAUUUAUAAAGGAAAAUUGGGCAUAACCUCACAGUGUAAAUUACAAUCCAUGACAUUGUACAACAAUGCAGAUCCUUUCGUGGUACUAGCAGGGAGAGCCAUGUAGCAAGCAUCCAAACAAGGGGAAAGGGCACAAAGUCCUGUAGAGAAAAUUGUCUUAGAUAAGUUUAUGCAAUUAUACAUAAUAUAACAAUCAGCUUGGCAUAAUUAAACAUCAAAGUCAUUGUGGUCACAAUCCAGUUGACUAUAGCAUAAUAAUCUAACAGCUACAGCUUACAAAAUAAAUAAACAAGUCAAAAUCUUUAAAAAGUACUACUUUAAAAAUAAUUAAACUCAUUUAACAAUGAUGUUUCACUAGAUGCUUCUGAUCUUGAGUGGCAUCCCUAAUUUAAACUGGUGGUUAACUUCAUAGAACAUAAUGGUAGAAGCUUGAUAUGAUUGCAUCUCAGUAAGAUGGGUGCCCUAGUUAGGCAUGGGCACGUUCUCUUUCGUUUUAUCACAGGCACAAAAGGGACACACUCAUCCAAAAGUCAAAAUGAAAGGUGCUAGUCUAUCAGAGGAUAAUAUGUAUAUGGAAAUAAGAAAUCUAUAUUAACUUUUCAAGUAAUUUGAAGGAAAAACAAUGCUUAUCACAAACCUAUGUCCAAGAUUAAUUCCUGACUGAGUGAAAUCUUAUCAAGUAGUAUUUGCAACCUCACCUUUAAUAUUUGGAACCGUGUCGAAAGUGUCCAAGAUUGAAAGACUAUUUAUUUCAUAUACAUAUGCUUUGUCUUGUAAAAUGACAAUGAGUCUGCAUUAGAGAGAAACAAUGUCAGCUAAGAUUAUUCUCAAUAGUCAAAAUGAAUGCUGAUCAGGUCAAUGAACUUGGAUUACUUAUGAAAGGAAAAGAAACUGUAAACCAAGAAAUUAAAAACUUAUAGGAAACUUGGCUGAAUACAAAAAUUGUAAUCUAGAAGGUAUUUGUCAAGUUGAAUUUGACCAAUAUAAUAAAUUAAAUAAUGUGGCCAUAUAUAGUUGUCUGAAACUCAGUAAAAAAACAGAAAGAGGAAAUAUCAGUUUAGUUAACACUCUUAUCUAAGACCAUCUAAGACCCUUGAUCAACGAAAACAUCUUCGAACUCAAAAACUAAUUGACAUGUUUCAAAUUUUCUUCCUAAACAUUCCUAUUCCCAGUUCAUGGAUUUUAGUAACAGAAGAAAUUUCAAAGCUAAAAGUAAACUAACUCACAAUGUAAGCUCCAAAUCAAAUUGAGUAAAAAAUACGCAUAUCAAUUUGUAUAGCUGGAAACAAUGUUAUUUACUUAAAUAUAAAGUACACAAAAAGAAGCAUUUGGCAGUGCAAUACUAAGCAUUAUGAGGUGCAUGUAUGUGUGACCUUUUUCGAUUCAUGCGAAUAGCUAGUAUUGAAGUAAGAAAGUUCAAUUCUCUAAGAGGAGCACCAGUUGUAGUAUUGAACAAACAGAGUCGGCGAGGGGAUAAAGAUGGCUGCAUAAGUUACAACAAUACAAAACCAAAUCAGAGAGAGAAGAGAAACCUCUAAAUCAAAUAAAGACUCUGUUUGGAUAAACAACUUAAUUUGCAGCUUAUAGCAUAUAUAUGUGUUUAUCAUGAUUUUUUGAAUAAGCUUAAGAAAAUAUUAAAAUAAUGUAAAAUUGUUUUUGUAUAAGGUAUAAGUUGUUUUGAUAAUGAAAAUAAGGUGAAAAGAGGUUAUGAAGAUGUGAUAAGCUGU
This 68368-nucleotide long non-coding RNA is filed under the name Medicago truncatula (barrel medic). RNAcentral describes it as "long non-coding RNA (MTRU_LNC002627)". The stretch from base 18126 to 18240 matches the Rfam family "MIR2593 microRNA precursor family". The record is from RNAcentral. Lineage: Eukaryota; Viridiplantae; Streptophyta; Magnoliopsida; Fabales; Fabaceae.